UUUUUUUUUUUUUUUCUAUGUUAUGUCUUACAAAAUCCUCCCUACCAUUUGCCAAUAAAAGUGAAAACAAUGCGUUGGUUUGCCAAAAAAUAGAGAAAUAAAAAAAGAAAGAGAUUAUGAGUUGUUUCCUUCAAAUACUUCAAAAUUUUAUUAGAUAUAUAAUGUGUUCCCUUCACAUUUUAAGUUGCCAAACUUAUUUCAUUUACCACCAAUUUUCAUUUCAAUUUUUUAAAUGUGAGUUCGACGUGGCUCGUGAUUUUUGUCCAGAUUUUUUAAUCUGAUAUUAAAUCUUAAUUCUUGGGACAUCAACUCUAAUGUUGAUUUCUAAUUUCCAUUUAUAACCUAAACAAGAAAAACAACAUAAUUAAAAAGAAGAACAAAUUGCAUGUAUACAUGUACACAACAACUAAUGGCAUCAAUCACGCUUUUUUCUUAGGCUCUCGUGACUUUUCCCAAAAAUCUAGUCGAAUGUUAUUCUCCUAAUACUCCUCCAAAAUUUCUCAAAAUUUUUCGUUUGCAUAACCAACAAAUUUUUUUCCAAAUAACAUGUUUCUUGCAUUACAAACACAUUUUUAAAUAUUUUUUUAUUUUUCGACCAUUUUUUAUUUCACAUAUAUCACAUUUAAAAAAUUAUAAUAAUUAUUUUAAAUAAUACUUUAUCCAAACACACUCAAACAAGGUGUUGUGAAUUUUUAGGCCAAAUUUUGUGGUAGCAACUGCAAACCUCCAAAGCAACUGCAAAAUACUCCACACACAAAACUUCGGUCCUCCCAAUACACCAUGAUAUAGAGUAAGUAACAGCAUGCAAUCUCAUUUUUUUUUCAGAAGAAAAACAACAAUUGACAAGUACAAACAUAGAAUCUUGAGAAUUAUUUGGGGAAACUUUUUCUUUAUCUAUUGUAGUACAAUUUUUUUUUUUUGGUGUGGUGGGAAUUGGGAAAAUGGUUUAGUAAUUUGGUCUGUUGAUUUUAAGAGAAUGAUGAUUUUUUUUUUUAUUGGUACAGAAAUUAAUGUUCGAUAAUUUUCAUGUUCUUGAUUUAUGUGUAAUAGUAUUAUAUCCCUUAAAUAUUUUUUUUAACUUUAAUUACUAAUUCCCCAUCUACAAACAAGCUACAUAAAAGAGCAUGGACUGAAGUGCCAUGAAGAAAAAAAAAAUAUAGGAGUACUUAAUUGUAAUUUACAAUUACAAGCAUUCCAGUGAGGUUUCAGUAUGUUAUAGUAAUUUAUUUCGAUUAAGCCCUCUUUGAGGUUCUUCUUUUAUGGUAUAUUUUUUACUGUGAUAAUUUGUCAAGAAAAAACCAAAAAAAAAAACAAAAAAAAAAAGUAAAUUCCAAAUAGAAAACUAUCAGUCUCACCAAAAACUAAUCCCUUUAGCAACAUAAGUAGUAUAACGCAGAAGAAUUAAUUACACUUAAUCCCCUUUUCUUCUUCUUUUAUGUUUCUAAUCAUCAACAAAAUUAAAAUCCACAAAUCUUUUCCCUUCUAUCAUGUGACAUGAAGAUGGAUGAUAAAAUUGACAUAGAAAUGUACGAGUAAAAGAUGAAUCUGUCGUAUGGUGGAUUUUCAGUAAAUAUGGAAUAUGGAAAACCAAAUCCAAUGCAAACCCCGGAUUUCAUCAAAACUUGAUGGCUGGCUACUACAAUUUCAUCAAAACUUCUCCCUCUCCUUUCUGUACCAAGCAUCUUCGUCUCCAACGUAGAAGAAGCAGUGAAGCUUCUGCUCUUCCUAGCAGGCAGUUUUAUUAUUGGAGAUUUUGUUCUAAACUUUUUGAAGUUUUUGGCCUUCACAACUUUGUCUUUGUUUGUUAUAGCAACAGCAUAUGGUAUCCUCUUCAUGAUCAAAUUAAUACGUGCAUUAGGGGAGACAAUCGAUCAGUUGAGGGACGAGAAGGAUGGGAGAAGGUUGCAACAAUUGAGAAAGUUGAUGAAACAGAAUCCAUUUCAUCUGGUUGGUCCUCAAAUAAAGACCAAUUCUAAAGAAGAUACUUAUUUGUAAUAAGAGAAAGCAAAGAAAACUCUCACAAGAAAAAUUUGCUGGGCUUGUUCGAAAUCUAUCUAUAUUUAAAGAAGCAAUUACUCAGUAGGAGCUAUAUUUAAUCAUUUACGUUGUAAUUCUUCAACUACUGAAGAUUGGAGGCCAAUUUUGGGCAGCUAAAAUAUAGAAGCCUUCAUUCAGUUGGAGAAGUUCCAAAACACGGCAACAACAGUCGAAAUUAAAUAGUCCUACUGGUAAGCUUCUUGAACCUCUCAUACUCAUUUCCUGAAAGAAAAUAUGUCAAUUUCAGAACAUCAUCAUCUCUAAAAUGUGUCUUUGAAUGCAUAAACAUGGCAAGCCCAUAAGCCUUUCUGAGCUGACAUCUGCAUUUCCUAUUCAUCCUUUAAAUCUCCCUACAUUAUUUAUCGCCUGAUGCCAAUACUAAGUUUAGUGUUUAUUUUAGGAGAAAAUGACCUGUUUCAUCCCUCACAUUUCGCAAAAAUAUUCUUUUCGUCCCUCACUUUUAAAAUGAAGCAAAUUCAUCCCUGACAUUUAAAAAUUAAAGCUAUUACAUCCCUAAACCUAAUUUUCAAUUUGAAUCAAACCACCCAAUAACCUAGUAAUAAAUUUUGAAAAUAGAAUUGAUAGAUCAUUCGGUCAAUUUCAUCAUAUUCACAUGACAUUUAUUAAACCAAAAAAAUAAAAAUUAUAACAUAAAAGGUCAUUCUUUAUCUUGGAAUAGUAGCAUUUUUUUUUUGGUAAAUCUUUUCAUGCACCGUUAGUAUGUCUGCUUGCGAAUCUAGAUGUGUAUCAUACAUAUAAAAUUUGGUGUUUAAAUUUAAAUUAAAAUGAUAUGGCAGUACAUAAAACUGUCAGUGUAUACAAUGAUAAUGUAGAAAAGAUUAAUCUUUCUUUUUUAUGUUAUAAUUUUUUAUUUUUAGGUUAAUUAAAUUUCACAUGAAUAUCAAGUUGAGUUAACCAAGUGAUCUACCAAUUAUACCCCCGAAAUUUGUAAUCAGGUUGAUUGGUGGUUUGAUUCAGAUUGAAAUUUGGGUUCAGGGAUGUAAUAAUUUUAGUUUUUAAAUAUCAAGGACGAAAUUGGUUCAUUUUAAAAGUGAGGGACGAAAAGAAUAUUUUUGUGAAAUGUGAAGGAUGAAACCGAUCAUUUUUCCUUAUUUUAGUGUAUUUGAGAUUGUGUGUUCUUAAAGUUGUUUUUGGAGUUAUUUUUGAAAUUUGUUAAUGUAGAUCCCACAAACAAAUAUAGUUUGUGGAAAAAAUAGUAAACCCAAAUAAAGCCUAUAUAAAACAUAAUUCACCAACAAUACACUAGGUAAAAAUUAUUUCGGAUUUUCAAUUUUAACGUGUUUAUCAAACGUGAGAAGACACUGAGUAGUGUGUAUCGACUAGAUUGGAGAUCAUGUGAAAUAUUUACUGUAGCAUGUAUUAUGAUGUGAUACACGUGAGAUAAAAAAGUAGUUGAAAAAUAUGUUUGUGAUGCAAGCAAAUAAUUUUUUGCAAAUAAUGUGAUAUCCAAAAUUUAGAUAGGAGAUAAUUUGAAAAAAAUAUUUAAAAUAAUAUUGUGGCACUUUUGUGGUUUGAUAUAUGUGAAUAAAAAGAUGGUUAAAAAUAUAAAAAUUUAGUUGAAAAAUGUGAUUAUAAUACAAGUCAAAUAAUAUUGGGAAUAAAUGUUUCAUAUCCAAAUAGACCCAGUUGAUCUUGAUUGGGAAAAAAAUGUACAUUUCAGAUGACAAGCUGUAAAUCUAUUUUAAGAACACGUGUAGGGCUUAUAAAAAAAUAUGCUAAGUUGAUAUUAUGUUCAAGUUCAUUUACAUUCUGAACGUGAAUAUAUUUAAUAAAACGCACGAAACCAUUCCGAGACCGUUACACAUUUACACUAGUAAUCAUCCCUAUCUUAUGUCUAUUUUUUACUAUGUAAGUGCACAUAUUCACAUUUACUUUUCCUUGCAUCUAGACUCUUUUUCAAGUUAAUCUCCCUUUUGUUAAAAAAAAUAUAUACUAUUUUAGAUCUGGCACCUGUUAGCUAAACUCUUUUAUCAAUUGAAAGUAUUCAACAUAGCACAGAGAUGAAACCUAUAGAAUUAGGGAUAAUUUCAGAAACCUCCCCUGAGAUUUGAAAAAUUACACUUACCUCCCUUGAUUUGAUAGUUUUAGUAACAAAAUCUUAAAAUAAUACUGAUUUGGUCAAUUUUAUAAAUGAAUACCCAAAAAUGCUCUUGUGUAAUGAGUUUUAAUUUAUUUCCUUAUACAAUUAUAAGAUUACCUAGUAUAAUUAUAAGGAAAAGGGGCCAAAUUUUUUAUGUCCAUACCUAGGAGUGGCAAUGGGGCGGCACCCCGUCCCCACCCCGUUUCCCCCGCGGUCCCCCGCGAGGAAAGAUUAGAAACUUUCAGCUACUAAUUCCAAGCUAAGAUUAGAAACAUGAGUUUACAAUAUACAUGAUCAUACCAGUGUAACAUGAUUUCUUGUCCAGGUAUCAAUGAGUAUCCAGUAACAUAAUGCACACUAAAGCAUGUAACAAGGAAGAAAUAUUACCUGUAACUCACCCCGUCCAAGUGAUGGCUUCAAUAAAUUGGCAAUAUCAAGACCAGAUCCCUUAUUGCCUCGUCCUACUAUCCCAGAACCAAUAAGUGUGUGGACCUCAUCAAUAAAAACAAUGACAUUGCCUGCAAUGCUAUCACAACAAGUUAAACCACAGUAGACGACUUACUUCAAAUGCACCAAAAAGAAAUGGGCACACCUGACUUUUUGAUAUCCUUAAGUAAUGUAGUGGUCACGCGUCCUUCCAGCUCACCUCUCUCCUUUGCGCCUGCAAUUAAUUGAGUAGUGAUUAGAACUAAGGGGAAUGGGAGGCGACGGCGGUGGCUGCGAAGGAGGGAACAAAGGAGGAAGUGAGGGGAAUAAUAAGGGGUUUUGUUACUUUUGUAUAUAUAAACAUAUAUAUAUAUGUGUGUAUAUAUUUUUUUUAUGCGGGGGAUGGGACGAGUGUAUGUUGCCCCAUCCCCCGCCCCGUUUUAAGGCGGGGGUAAAUAUUUUGCCCCAGCCCCAUUUCUACCCCCACGGGUACCCGUCCCCAUUGUCAUCCCUAUCCAUAUCUAUUAUUUGAUAAACAACUAUAAUAUUAAAUUUAUCACCAUUAUAGGAUACUUUUGAUGGUACUUUAUUAUGGAUUUAGAUUUAUAUGAUAGAAAAGAAAAUGUUGAAAUAAUUCAUUUAGAGUUUAUGAAUUUUUCGGGUAGUGGGAUUAUCAUAAUUUGGUAGUGAUUUUGGGCCAUUUCUUUUUGAUUUAUUGUUAAUUUUAGUACCAAAAAAUAGAAAAUAAAGAUCAACAAAAACAUUGAAUUACACAUAAAAUUAACUCUUCAAAAAAAUCAUUAGUUCGACAUUUGAUUACAAUAGAAACUAGAAGCAAUAGCGGCAGUUCUACGGUUUUAUUGAAAAAAAUUUUAAAAAGGAAUAAGAAGGAAAAAGAAUGAAAAAAAAUUUUUUAAACUCAUUCUAAUUAUAAGCAUACCAAAUAAGGGAAUUUCAUUAAAAUAUUUAAGGGUAAAAUUGUCAUUUUAAAUGACAAGGGAGGUAUGUGUAAUUUUUUAAACCUCAAGGGAACUCAGUGAAAUUAUUAGAAACCUCAGGGGAGGUUUUUGAAAUUAUCCCAAAGAAUUAAUACCUCAAAUAUUUCUUAACACAGAGAAAACCUUUUAUGAAUUGAAUGUAUUUAGACGUAGAAAAGAGAUCAGAUCCAUCAAAUGUUUGCAAUUGAAGUCAAAGCAUUAUAAUAAUAAUAACUAUUGAUCUAAAACUAGACGAGGGAUCGAGAAGUUUGUCAUUUCCUUCCGAUUUGAAACAGGAAAUUAAGGACUAUGAGGUGAACUGACGAAGAUUUGUACGUUUAGCAAUUUCAGACUGGAUGUGUCAUAUUGGAUGUGUACGUUUAGCAAUUUCAGACUGAAUGUGUCAUAGGACUAUUGGCAUUGUUUGGAAUGGCAGGAUUUGGAGGGAUUUGCUUUUGUUUUGGGGUAGGGGUCCUAGAGGAAGAAGCGUAAAACGGUCCUAUCUGAUAUUGGGAUUCGGGAAAAGAAUUGAUAAGGUUGCUAAGCAAAGGACCAGGAGUACAAUUUUGCUGCAAAAUGGAAUGUUGUUUUCCAAAAAGACUUCAUUUAAAUUGUGGUGUCAUGGAUCAAAUGUACUUUUGUCACUACUACAUGGGGUCAGAAUGAGUGAAUUUGUAAGUUAAAUUGAGCUAAUUUACUUUCUUCUCUACUAAACUUUUCUCCAAGAAAUGCACAAGAAAGGAUUAAUGGUCAUAGUAGGCUUUGAGUUUUGUGAUUAGAAUUGAAAAAGCAAAGUAGAUUUGACGGUAUAACUAAUAAAUGUGUACUACUUUUGUUGAAUACUUCCAAGUUCACAUUUUUGGCUGAAUCUUUUGUAAAGAUUUGCUGACCAUCUUUUUUUUUUCCAACUUAAUAGCUCCAAAAAAAAAAGAAGCUUUUUUCCAACUUAGUAAUGCUCAUUUGGUACUUCCAAAAAGUUCAUAUGGUAGUGCUGCAUGUUGAUACAUAACGAUUAAUCUUUUUUAUACUUAAUAAUAUAUACAGUAUAUACACUAUCAACGUUGAAAGAAUAACAAUUAUAUAUAAUUUAAAUUUAAAAUUCAACUUUUAUACAUAUGUCAUGGAUCCAAUGGUAAUAAUAUAUGCACUGUUAGUGUAUAUUAGAUUUACUCAACACUACAUAAUAUUGGCCAAACUGUUAUAAGCUACGACACUAAUCAAAGCAAAAUAUCAGCUCCUAAAAUUAAACAUAUAGUUUGAAAGUUAAUAAAUGUGGUGGAGGAAUUCUUUGGAUUGCAGAUUUCUAAAGAAAAAUUGUUAUGUUUUUCGUAAACACAUUUUUCAAUCACUUUUUUGCCUCUUAUAUAUCAAAUCGUUAUAAUAAUUUUUCUAUAAAAAGUCCAAAAAAAUAUAAUCCAAACACAACCGUUGCCAUACCCAUACAAUUGUGACUUGACACAUAAAUGGAAGUCUCAAGCAACCCUAUGAAAUCGAAUCUUAAUUCAAGAACCCACACUGCAUCUAUUGAGACUUGAAAGAUCUUGGCCAUAUCAUGGAACCUGCUGCUCUCGCAAUCUAGUUGCUGGAUUUUUCAUUUGUUUAGUACAUCAAUUGAAAUCGCUUUAUUGGCUACAAGCAGGAAAAUUCUGCUAAGAGAAUAGUGAAUAUACCGCCGUAGCUUUAAAUAAUCUAACAGAACCAGCCACAAAGGAACAAUUGUAAGAUGACUCCAAUUCAAUUCACAAGGACUUGUAAAAAAGUUCCACUGGUUUACUUUGCAGAGCAAAAAAGUUGUGCAAACACAAAUGGAACUACGGUUUGAGUGAAGAAGGCAAAUCAAGAAAGAAAAAAAAAAUUACAUCCCAUUAUAAUUUAGCUUGAAUUCUGUUGUAAAAUAUGUUAAAUGCGUAUCUUCUCCUUUGCAUUCCUUUUUGGCUGAUUUCCAAGUUCAAGGAUUAUAGUACUUUUCUGUGCCUGGAUAUCCCUGUUGCUUCUCAUAUUCUCCCACGGAAUCAAACUCAUACUUGGACUUUUCACCGUUACCGUAGUAACCUUCAGCAUUGCUAUUUUCCUUCACUGAUUCAUACCCAUUUUGAUUCAGAUUCUCAUUGUUAACAUCAUAAUGGUACUUACCAUUCUCCAAGAACCUUGUGUCGCUCAUCCCUUGUUUCUCAUUCCUGUAGCUAUUGCUAUAUCCAUUGUUGUUAUUGUAGACUGAAUUCGAAUAGCCAUUGCUGUUGUAAUUGUUGGAGUAGCCAUUAUUGUUGUAGUUGUUGGAGUAGCCAUUGCUGUUGUAAUUGUUGGAGUAGCCAUUGCUGUUGUACCUGUUGGAGUAGCCAUUAUUGUUGUAGUUGUUGGAGUAGCCAUUGCUGUUGUAAUUGUUGGAGUAGCCAUUGCUGUUGUACCUGUUGGAGUAGCCAUUAUUGUUGUAGUUGUUGGAGUAGCCAUUGCUGUUGUACCUGUUGGAGUAUCCAUUAUUGUUGUAGUUGUUGGAGUAGCCAUUGUUGUUGUAAUUGUUGGGGUAACCAUUGGAGUAUCGAUUCCCGGCAUUGUUUUCCGCGAGCCUUUCGUUGUUGAUUUCCUCAACCGGAAUUUCAUCUUCCUCAUUGCCAAGGGCCGUGGUCGUGGUCUUUUUUGUAGGAGAAACAGUAGAAACACCGCCAUAGAGGCCAUAGGGAUGGUCAGUACUCUCAAUUGGUGCUGGUGCUGGUGCCGGAACUUCUAGAUAUGUGGGUGCAAAGCUAAUCUCACUAGUUAUAGGGGCUGGUGCUGGUGCUGGAGAAAUUGAUGGUGCUAGCACUGGUGCUGCCACUAUAGGGACAUGCUUGCUUACUCUAGCCUCAGUAUGAACAGAGGAAAGAAGGAGAACAAGCAAGAGAAUGGAGACGUUUUUAGCCAAGGGAGCCAUAAUGGAGAAGGACGGGAAAUGGUUGAAUUUGUUGUUUGGCUCUGAAAUUUCAAGAUCCCAAAUGCAUCCUUUUAUAAAUAGACAAAGUGGGGUACUCUUCUCUCUUUUUCAGCCGUGAUGAUUUGCGGGGAUUGAGGGAUGCGAAGAAUCUGGGCAUAAGAAAUUAUAGCUUUUGGGACAUGCUGCAUGUGGAAUCCUUGAGAAUGUCUUUCACAAUUGAGGCGCCUAAUCUUCGGCCACGAAAAAAGUGUCAUUAAUUAGUCAAAAGCUGGCAUUUUCUCAUGGGAUGCUUAAAGAGAAAGUGAUGUUGCUCAAGCUUGCAACAUCAUAAAAUAAAGAGGAGGGCCCCUGCCGCCAAUUUUGCAGUUGAGUUAGUUGAAAGGGCUUAUAGCCUGACCAUAUUUUAAGGGGAAAUUCUUCUAUAUGUGCCAUUGAGCAUAUAGUAGUCAUGCACCGGAAGACUUUUAAGAUUCUUGAUCAUCUAAUCCAGCAAGAACAGGCGGAGGAGAUACAGGUUGUAUAGCUGGAUAGAAACACAUCAGAUGGCUCCAUAAAACCUUUCGACAACAUUGCAUGGUUGUCCACUAUUUCAAAAUGCAGUAUGUGGUGGUUUUCAGUUCAGUAGAGAAACUGGAGCCAUCACGAGGAAAGACCUGCAUUAGCUGGUAGGGGGAAUUUUGAUGUUAUGAAAAUACAGGGUAUGAUGAAUUCAUGUUUUGGCAGAGAACUAGAGAUAUUACGAGGAAAGACCAGCAUUGGCCGGUGGCGAAAUUUUGAGAUAAUUUUGAUGUUAAGAUUGAUUUACAAGUCUUUCAAGUUUUAUUGUUGACUAAACAUCUCAUCUUCUUUUGAUCAUGUCCUCGUUUCGUUAAGAAGGGAUGACAGAACGAUUUUUUCCCCGUUCGAACUCUUUUUAAGGACCAAGUGCAACAAACUUAAGUUCCUAACAAGCAACGGCGAUUUCACCUACGGUUACAUUCCAUCAAGAAGUUAUACAAAGGCCAAGUAAUUUGCGAAAUCGUCUAAAAGAUUCUAUUUCAAAGAGAAAUAAAUCGAUAAUCGUACACAUUAGAUGUACAAAAACUUUUUCUCUUGAAGGUACAGAAGAACAGUUUAACAAGAGUGCUUUUCUGCUCGUAACUUUGUAAUUAACCCCCCAAAGCUGAGGAAUAAUUUGUGGCAGUCUCCCACUCCCACCUCCGUAAUGAAUCAAAACUUGAUGCAUUGCAAAAACUUGGGAGAAGAGAAGGCAGAUAAAGUGGUCUACCUGAGAUCUACUACUGAUCAUCUCUAUACUCCGGAUUCUCUUUUAAGAUGACAAAACCCUCGAGAAUGGGUGACAGCGGAAUGUAUCUGCACCAAAAUUUGAUAUCAGCACAACCAAAUGUAUGUAUACCAGAAUAAUGAGUUGCAUAGGGAAAAGAAUUUACUUUUCAGUUGCAAGCUCUGCUCUAUCCCCAGCAGAGAGGAGGACGGGGGUUGUGUGCGUCUGGAAACCUGUUAUGGUCUUAGGCCUGCCUGCUUGGCCAACAACAUCUACUGCUUGACCCACUCGGACAGGUACAGGCAAAGCCUUCAGAUUUUCAUCAACCGUCAUCAACAUCCUUGGCUGUCAAUGGCAGAAUAGAGGAAGUAAGAACAUAGGAUCGCUCAAGAAAAGGAAUAAAUAUCACCGUUCAAACAAUCAAUUUUUUUUUUGUUGGGUGGGGAAGGAAGGAACAAUCAGAUAUACGAAAGAGAUUUAAUACCUGCAUGGCUAAAACAAGGAAGUAUAGAAUGUAGUGGUAUUUUCCGAGGAUGACAGCUUUCAUAUCAAGACAUGCAUGUAAUAAAGUCACUAGUCCAGCCAGCGCAGUACUAUAGACAGGAUGCAAAUAAGAAAUUAGAAGACUUCACAAAACUGGAGCAACUAUCUACAUCUGAAAGAGCAAAAGGGGAGUAAUAGACUUACGGAGACAACAAGAACCGUUCCGAGUGAUAUGGGGAGAGUGUCAACAACCCCUUUCCUAAGUGGACAAGACCUUGAGCAAUCCUCACCUGCCAAUGGGCCAAAAGAAUCAUUAGGUUGUCAGGAAUAUGCUAGUCAGCAUGCACUUAUCUAGGAAAUGAAGCAUACACAGAAGAGAAGACUCGGUUCUUUAUAGUAGUAGCUUGACAAAUUGCGAAGCAUGCCAGCUAUUCUAGCAUUGUUGGUUCCUGCACCUAUCAAACCCAGAGAAACGAUAGCAGCCUACAUAGUUCAAAAAAGAGUUCUAAGAUAAGGAAUCAUAUACUGAAGCAAAGAUGAAAACUUCAUAAGAUGAUUGAAAAACAUAACAAGCUUGUCUAAACUACCAUAGCAACUUCAGUGUCAGAAUCAUGACUGAGUCUGCUUAAAGUGUCCAUGACAUUGACCUAUUGACACGAGCCAAAGUCAGCAAGGAAAAUAUAGAUAAAAGGAGGCAUCUGAAAGACAAAGUAGCCUCUUGGUAUCUUGAUAAUUACUAUGACUAGCAUAAGUCAUGAGAUUAAAGUACCUUUGGAUUUGAUAUACAUAGAAGACCCAAAGCUAGAGGAACUGCCUUUCUAAUAUUCUGCUCACCAUACUGUAAAAGAUGCUCUAAGGACCGGAUUGCCAUUUCAAGGCCCAGCUCUUCAGCCAUUGCUACCAUAGCUAUUCCAAGUACAGCGGGACCCUGGAAGGUCUCACCCUUCUCAAGAUGUUGAGCACAUUGACCGAGGAAGUGUUGGACCUAUAUAGCAAGGAUAAAAAUGCCAUUACAUAGUGUAACAAACAACCACUAGCUAACCAUGAAAUUGCAAAUCAGGGAUUUUAGUUCAAAACCUUUAGGACAUUCCCAGUUCCAGCAUAAGCACAAGAAAGCAGUGUCAUGUCACAAUGCUUCCGGAUUUUUUCAUUAAAGGUCUUUGAAACCUCAGCUGUAGCCUCCACACUUUCCUGUUAACAACAAAAAUUUGGAUCCCAAAAACUGUUUAAACAAUAUAGUAGGACUUAUGCAAAUGACCGAUCUCAAUCAAAUGGAACAGCCCUAUAAAGCAGUAGAUAAGACGUGCAUACUAAUAGGUGAUUCAAGAAACUUAUCUAUUUCAAACAAGCUGAAUAUAACAACAAUUUCCUUGCCUGUUUCCCAAGGUAGAGGAGCCCAAGCCCAAGAGGCAAUAGGCGUGUGAGUGGUUCACCUAAUUCUGAUUCGCUUCGGUCCAUCAACGCAAAUAUAAUUGCCUGGGCAAUAUCUUCAUUACAAGAGCCCACAUAUACCAAGCCCAAUGAGAUUGCAGUAAAUGCAAUCACAUCAAGGGAUGCCUUUGCAUCAUUCAGUAUAGGAAUUAGUUUACUCCGGAUCUGCAAGAAGAUACAAAAGAUUCAAAUUCAAGUAGUCAUGUCUUGCCAGCAAAAGAUACAAAUAAGACAGCACAUCCAACUCCACGUACUUUACCAUGGCUGUUAAAAAACAAAAGAAUAGAUUUCCAUCUUGGAAGGUCCCAAUCUAAAAGUCCAUUAAUCCAAUAUAAGAAGACAAAGGAAGCUCACCUGCUCGCUUUGAGCACCUGCAUAUGCAAGUCCUAGGCCCAUUAUAGCACCAAUUCUAGUAGCAGGAUCCUCUCUGUCAACAUAUUCAGCUAGAAGUGCCAAAGCCUGAGAUUAAUAGUUAAUGCAACAUGUUAGAAGCAGCCUUUAAUGAAAGAAUACUCCACACCACCAGGGUAAAGAGGAGGGCAUGGGGUGAAGAAAACUUACAGGAUCGCAGUCAUUCUUGACACCACAAUUUACAAUGCCAACUCCUAACAAUGCACCCGCGAUGACUGGUGUGUCGGUGCUAUGGAAGUACUUGUCAAUUUGAGCCAAUCCAGAAUCAACGUCCCAAAGAAGGAUCAUACCCUAAAAGUCAGGGAAGAAUAACAUUCAUAUUGUAACUGAGUGAUAACCAGAGAAGAGCUAAGAUGAAAGUAAACUGGCAUACCAGACUUGCUGCAGCGCUAGUCUUUCCAUGUUCCUUAUUUUUGUAAAGCCAGUUUGUGGAAGAGCUACCACUUGAAGCUUCAGAUGGUACGGUCAUCAACUUAUCCUGCAUGUGAAAGCAUUGAAAUUUAUUCGACAUAAAUACAAGCAGUUAUCCAUUUUACAUAUUGACAAAGCAUGCUCUUACCUGACCAAAGCCAGCAUUGACGAAUGCAUUUACAAAUGUUGCAGCAAGAUUCUGUCUUGCUGAAUCCAUGCUUGCCCCAGCACUGGCCCGACCAUCAAGUAAAUGAGCCUUGUAAAUGUCUUCAGGAGAUUUUGGCUCCAUGACCUCUAUAUCACGAGCAAGUGUAAGAUAGCCUUCACUUAACUUAGAGUUAUUGAUAAUUUCUUGUAGUCCCUCCCUCUCUUCAUCGUCUGCACACAUCUCUUCAUCAAGCUCAAAAGUUAUGCCCUGCAAUCAAAGCCAACAGAAGCACAUCUAAGGCAAGAACCUUCCACAUAUUUUUUGUACAAAAAUAAUCAAUAUGACACAGCUACUCAGAAUAGUUCAUUAUCUUAAAACAAUCAAUUGCUAAAAAAAUUUCAUCAACCCCAAUAAAAAUGGUCAAUGGGCCAAUGGCAUGAUAUCUCUUGGACAAGCAAGAGAAACCCCCGGUACAGAGACAGGUCAUCCAUUAGACAAUUGAAUAACUUCUCAUACAGAGCCAGAUAUGUUAAAACCAAAAAGCAUCCAAUACACUCAAACUCCAUUGAUGUAACAAUCUUUCACUACAAAAGAAACAUCUUAUGGGCUUACAUGGCGAGCAAGAAUGUAGCAAAAUUGCUUUUUCUGCAGAAGGUCAUGGCAAGUCAUAAAGAUCUGCUUGACAUACUGCAAUGGCAAUGUCAAAACAUAAGAUCAAAAUCAAACCAUAAAGUAAAGAUUAGAACAUUAACCAUAACAAAGAGCAUAAUAUCGUGAUAAGCAAACCUGCAUGUUAUCUAGAUACAAAGCUAUCUGAAGUGCUCGAGGAAAUUCUUCAAAUUUCAUAUAAAUCAUGUAGGCGAUAUCCAAAACUAAGGUGUCAUCCGGUCCAGGAAGGUAUCUGCCAAAAUCAGAUCAACAACGUACCCCAUUUUCAGUUAAGAGGAAAAAAAAAUGGCUUUCUCGUUGGUUGGAUUUCUUGUUUUCCCCUUUCUUUUUUUUUGGGAGAAGGGGAGGGCGGGUUAUACUAGAAUUGCAAAAAAAAGAAAUUCAACUAACAGCUUUUCUAAAUAUACUUACUUAGCUGAACUAUUGAGGUACAAGCAGGUUCUUUUAAAAUUUGUUUUGUCCGUAUGCUCAACCAAGAGAUCAAGGUCUUCAACCUAAAGCAAUUUACAGAGACUUCAGAUAGAAUAUUUCGCUUCACACCCACAAAAGAAAAAAUGUAACCUUAGUUACAACACCUAUAGUAAUAACAUUGAAAGCUAUUAUACCUCCAUCAAGAGAUCCACAGCCUCAGGUUCAGCAUUGUGCUGCAAACACGAGUUAAAUGCAUUAAACAAAUGAACAAAUGCCAAAAUAUAGGUGAUGCUUGCAUAUCACAGAGUUAAAACAGGGAACUGACAGACCAUAUAUCUUUGUAACAAUGUAAUGCAGGUAUCUUACAAAAAUAUAAAUGCUUAAAAACAUCUUACCUGCAUAUGAAAAGCCACAAUCUGCUGAACAAGCUCCAUUAACUCAUCAAAUGGGGCAUCCUCACUCUGAAAUCAUAUGAUAAAUCACGUUAGUUAGGAUCACACGAACUCCUGAACAUAGAUGAUGUAGUAUAAGGUAGGACUUGACUAAAACAGAGACCUUCCUUGCAAUAACUCUUAGAUGACCAAAAAGGAUCCAGGCCAGAGCUACAAGGGAUCGAUGUAUCUUACAUAUCCGAGAGAGAGAGUUUCCGCUCAUACUCUAUAACAGAUGUGAUACCUAAUUACCAUUUCACUAGGAAAGCUGCACCGUAAAUGCUAUUGCUUGCCCUACUUUUACCAUAUUGGCAAAAUUUUUCAAGAACAUAUAAACUUGACCUAUUUACAUGAGACAAUAUGAAAAAGACCACAUUCUUGAACAUAACGUAAGGGACCCCAGAUGCAAAAUGAAAAACUUCAAUUAUGCCAAUUGUCCUAAUGAAUAAACCUGCAUUAAUAAGUCAACUAGAAUAGAAGCUCUAACCUGCCGUUUGGCAUAUUCCUGUGCAAAUGCUAUUGCUUGCCCUACUUUUACCAUAUUGGCAAAAUUUUUCAAGAACGUAUAAACUUGAUCUAUGUACAUGAGACAAUACAAAAAAGACAACAUUCUUGAACAUAAUGUAAGGGACCCCAGAUGCAAAAUGAAAAACUUCAAUUAUGCCAAUUGUCCUAAUGAAUAAACCUGCAUUAAUAAGUCAACUAGAAUAGAAGCUCUAACCUGCCGUUUGGCAUAUUCCUGUGCAAUUUCUCCAGCCAGAUUCCUACAAGAAGUAUAUGAUCAUCCAUUAACCAAAUUACUUUAAAAGAAUUGUAACUACAACAUUCUGUAAGCAACAUCAACUACAGAAAAUCACAAGAAAUCAGCACAAAAUGCAAGAUAAGUAUCUACCAUAAAAGUUCUUUUACUGUUUCUUUUUUCUUUUGCUGGUAUGCAGGGUUGUGAUCAAAAAAUUUGUAAAUAAUACAGGCAUCCUUUUAGUCGUUGAGUCAGUAUAAAACAUCAUGAUCCAGUCUAAUGCUCGAUAGAAGGCUACAUGAAAAGCUUUUCAAAUGAAAAUAUAAAAGUACAGAACCAUUUUACCCUACCUGAAGCAUAUUGUCUGUAUGCUUGCACAUCCAGACAUAAACAAGCACUUAAAUAUUAUUAAAAGCUCAAGACUCAAUCAAUGUAAUUAAAAUACCACCUAAAAAAGAGAGUAACUAAACAAAACAAAGCGAGCAAGGAACCUAUUCAAAACUAAAAUCACAAUUAGAGUUACACAUGAGUCAGAUCUCUCUUCAAUCAUACAGCAGUAGCAAGAGAUGUUUCAGAAGGCCACACAGAAACUAACUUUACUAUAAUGCAUUUGCUAUAACCAAUAAACAGACAUACGUGCUCACCUAACAUACUCAUGUCCCCAUGAACCAAUAUCACCAUCGGAACCCAACAGUCUAUACUUCAGGCUCUCCUGGAACAACAUUAACCAAUUUGUUAUGAUAAUAAAAUGGUUAAAUAAGAAAAAUCUGCAAUCCGUGCAGAUAGACAAAAAGAGACCAACACAAGGAUACCCAUGUGCUCCAUCAGAAAAUACACAGGAUUUAGACAUAUUCCCUUGAUACACAGUAAAAUUCAUUAAAAAGGCACAAGUCAAAGGUAUGGAUGGUCUGCCCAUGGAUUGUAAAGAAACAAAACAUACCCUUUCUCCUUCAGCAGACAUUGUCAAGGCUAAAACAGAAAGGAUAUCUGCUAAAAGUUUCUGGAAGAGGAAAAGAUGUAAAUGAAAUGAGUUAGUUUUGCAAGGAUAAAAACUAACACAAUUUCCCCGCUAAAAGCAUAAUACCCACCUUCAAAUCUGAAUCCACCAUGCUUUCAUAAUAUGCUUUUAAUGUUCCAUAAUGAGGACGCAAGAACUUUAGUGGCUUUGGGACUGAUGUCAUAGAGCUUGUUGCAUUCCGAAUUUCUUGCCUACCAUGAAUAGAAAUGUAUAACUUGGUUAGAAAACGCUAGACAGCUCAAUCACCAGAAGGAAGGUUAUCUGCAUCAACAGGCUAACAGCUGGAAAAUUCAGCAACCCAGAAAAGUCCACUCGAGUUAGCAGGAUAAGAAAUAAAGUUCAGGCAUUUCAAGCAAUCAACGAGACAAUCUGCAAUAGGCGACCCUUUACCAUUAGUUGUGCAAAAAUUCAAAAAACCCUGAGUUUCAUCCAUCCUGACAAUACUACCAAUGCACCAAUCUUUGAUAGGUUCGAAUUUCAGGAAAAAGGCACUAAGAAGCACUAUGCAUCCACAAGAAUACAAGUAAGCUAGGGAAAAAAACUAUUGUUAUGAAACAAAUAUCAUUGUGCAUACAGAAAACCUACAUAAACCCGUGUACCUCAUGCUCUCGAGGGCAACUUUCUGCAACCCCGGGUCUGAAUCCUGUACCCUCUCCACAUACAACUCUAGCUGCAGCUUCAGUGCCAAAUCUUCCUCGGACUUGAUGAAUCAAAAGCAUAAACAGAUAAGCAUAUGCACCAAUAAAAGCCAUCCAAUUAUAAAAACUCUCUUCAGAGAGCACAAUGCUCCCAUCGUUUGCACAAGCUUUUCACCAAUAACGGCAAAGCAAGCUGAAUCUAAAUGCCACGAAACAAUUAAUACUACUCACUUAUCCAAAAAAAUAAAUAAACAAAUUAAACCACCCAUAAACGUAUCGCACUUGAAAAAGAUUACAAGAAUCACUCAAUAUCAAGCUCAGCAUACUUACUAUCCCCCAUUUUGAGUUUAAAAAUAAAAAUAAAAAGACUCGUAAUUUUUCAAUAAACCGCAAAAAUAAACUUUGUCCGAUAACUGGACAUCAUAAUUCCUAGUUCAAACAAUUCAGCACUAAUUAUACAAAUUACUCACAAGAUCUUCGUCUUUCUUGUCAUCCUUCUUCUUCAAGUCUUUUGAAGGAACCUUGAGUGACGCUUCAUCCUUAGUGGCGCCGGCGCUGCUGCCGCCGGUACUAUUCGGAUCUUGAGCCGGAGCCAUAGAUUAUCCGGUUCAGUAAAACCCUAGAACAAUUUUAUUAAUUCUCAACAAAUAAAUACAAUCUUCUGGCGAAAAUUUUCUCUUUAUUUUGAAGAACAAAGAAGUUAAACCCGGAAUAUUAUAAGUAGAGCGGAGUUUUUGGGAAUUAGUAGAUUUCCUUUUCUACAAGCAAAGUCUAAUCAUCUUUUCUCUCAUGUUUUUUUUUUUAAUUUUAAAAGCCCGGUUUUUACAAAGCUGUUUGUGGAAUCUGUGAUUUUGAGUGGCCCAGUACCGUAUUGGAUUAGGCUGCGACUAAUCGAACAUCUGGGUUUCUGGCCCAUGUACAAAAAGUUAACGGACGAAAUUCUGGGCCUCUGGAUGACCUCAGAUUUCAACAUUUUUUAUGUGCCUGAUGGCCUCGUCAUAAUUUAUGGAAGUAAGUUUAGUGUUUAUUUUAUUUUAUUUUAUUUUAGUGUAUUCGAGAUUGUGUGUUCUUAAAGUUGUUUUUGGAGUUAUUUUUUUGAAUUUGUUAAUGUAGAUCCCAUGACCAAAAAUAGUUUGUGGAAAAAAAAUUAAAUCCAAAUAAUGCCUAUAUAAAAUAUAAUUCACCAACAAUACACUGGAUAAAAAUUAUUUCGAACUUUCAAUUUUAACAUAUUUAUCAAACGUGAGAAGAUACGGAGUGUGUAUCUACUAGAUUGGAGAUCAUGUGAAAUAUGUAGUGUAGCAUUUAUUAUACUGUGAUACACGCAAGAUAAAAAAGGUAGUUUGGAAGAUUAAAAAGUUGGUUGAAAAAUGUGUUUGUACUGUAAGCAAAUUUUUUUAUUUUUUUUUUUUGUAAAUAAUGUGAUAUCCAAAGUUUAGAUAGGAGAUCAUUUGAAAAAAAAAAUUAUUUAAAAUAAUACUGUGACACUUUUUGUGAUUCGAUAUAUGUGAAUAAAAAGAUAGCUGAAUAUAUAAAAAAUUAGUUGAAAAAUGUGUUUAUGAUACAAGUCAAAUAAUAUUGGAAAUAAAUGUUCAUAUCCAAACAGACCCAGUCGAUCCUGAUUGGGAAAAAAAAUGUACAUUUCAUAUGACAAGCCUUAAAUCUAUUUUAACAACACGUGUAGGGCUUAUAAAAAAAUAUACUAAGUUGAUAUUAUGUUCAAGUUGAUUUACAUUCUGAACGUGAAUAUAUUUUGUUAAAAUGCACGAAAUCAUUCCCAGACCAUUACACUAGUAAUCAUCCCUGUCUUAUGUCUAUUUUUUACUACAUAAAAGCACAUAUUCACAUUUACUUUUCCUUGCAUCUAGACUCUUUUUCAAGUUAAUCUCCCUUUUGUUAAAAAAAAAAACUAUUUUAGAUCGGGCACCUAUUAUUAUUUUUUUCUUUUUUUUUUCGAUUGGGAGGUAUCCUGGUCAAUUGACCAAACUAAUCCCCCCAGGCUGGAAGAGCCCGCCCUUGCUCCUGAAGAGGAGGCUAAACUCUUUUAUCAAUUGAAAGUAUUCAGACAUAGCACUGAGAUUAAACCCAAAGAAUUAACACCUCAAAUAUUUCUUAACACGGAGAAAACCUUUUUAUUAAUUGAAUGUAUUUAGACAUAGAAAAGAGAUCAGAUCCAUCAAAAGUUUGCAAUUGAAGUCAAAGCAUUAUAAUAAGAAUAACUAUUAAUCUAAAACUAGACGGGGGAUCGAUAAGUUUGUUAUUUCCUUCCGGUUUGUAACAGGAAAUUAAGGACUAUGAGGUGAACUGAUAAAGAUUUGUACGUUUAGCUGUUUCAUACUUAGACAUGUCAUAGGAAUAUUUUGCCAUAUCCAUACAAUUGUGACUUGACACAUAAAUGGAGGUCUCAAGCAGCCCUAUGAAAUCGAAUCUUAAUUCAAGAACCCACCGCAUAUAUUGAGACUUGAAAGAUCUUGGCCAUAUCAUGGAACCUGCUGCUGUCACAAUCUAGUUGCUGCAUUUUUCAUUUGUUUAGUACAUUAAUUGAAAUCGAUUUAUUGGCUACAAGCAGGAAAAUUCUGCUAAGAGAAUAGUGAAUAUACCGCCAUAGCUUUAAAUAAUCUAAUUGAACCAGCCACAAAGGAACAAUUGCAAGAUGGAGCUGAUGUCCACCGUCCACUCCAAUUCAAUUCACAAGGACUUGUAAAAAAGUUCCACUGGUUUACUUUGCAGAGCAAAACAGUUGUGCAAACACAAAUGGAAAAAGCAAAUCAAGAAGGAAAAAAAAAAUUACAUCCCAUUAUAAUUUAGCUUGAAUUCUGUUGUAAAAUAUGUUAAAUGCGUAUCUUCUCCUUUGCAUUCCUUUUUGGCUGAUUUCCAAGUUCAAGGAUUAUAGUACUUUUCUGUGCCUGGAUUAUAUCCCUGUUGCUUCUCAUAUUCUUCCAUGGAAUCAAACUCAUACUUGGACUUUUCACCGUUACCGUAGUAACCUUCAGCAUUGCUAUUUUCCUUCACUGAUUCAUACCCAUUUUGAUUCAGAUUCUCAUUGUUAACACCAUAAUAGUACUUACCAUUAUCCAAGAACCCUGUGUCACUCAUUCCUUGUUUCUCAUUCCUGUAGCUAUUGCUAUAUCCAUUGUUGUUAUUGUAGACUGAAUUCAAAUAGCCAUUGUUGUUGUAAUUGUUGGAGUAUCCAUUAUUGUUGUAGUUGUUGGAGUAGCCAUUGUUGUUGUAAUUGUUGGGGUAACCAUUGGAGUAUUGAUUCCUGGCAUUGUUUUUUGCAAGCCUUUCACUGUCGAUUUCCUCAACCAGAAUUUCAUCUUCCUCAUUGCCAAGGGUGGUGGCCGUGGUUGCGGUCAUGGUCUUUUUUGUAGGCGAAACAGUAGAAACACCGCCAUAAAGGCCAUAGGGAUAGUCAGUACUCUCAAUUGGUGCUGGUGCUGGAGAAAUUGAUGGUGCUUGUACUGGUGCUUCCAUUAUAGGGACAUGCUUGCUUACUCUAGCCUCAGCAUGAACAGAGGAAAGAAGGAGAACAAGAAAGAGAAUGGAGACAUUUUUAGCCAGGGGAGCCAUAAUGGAUAGAUGGGAAAUGGUUGAAUUUGUUGUUUGGCUCUGAAAUUUCAAGAUCCCAAAUGCAUCCUUUUAUAAAUAGACAAAGUGCGGUAUUCUUCCCUCCUUUUGGGCCGUCGAAUGUGAGGAAUAUGGGAUAGCUUUUGGGACAUGCUGCAUGUGGGAUCCUUGAGAAUAUCUUUCACAAUUGAGGCACCUAAUCUUUGGCCAGGAAAAAAGUGUCAUUAAUUAGUCAAAAGCUGGCAUUUUCUCAUGGGAUGCUUAAAGAGAAAGUGAUCUUGCUCAAGCUUGCAACAUCAUAAAAUAAAGAAAAUGGCCCCUGUAGCCUAUUUUGCAGUUGAGUUAGUUGAAAGGGCUUAUAGCCUUGUACCAUAUGAAAUAUGCUUAUAUUAGCUUCCUUUUUCUAGAGAAAAUUCCCCUGAAGCUACAAGACCUGAGAAGUAGCAAAUCAAUACAUUAAUUUUCACAUGCACUUCCGGUGGCUCCAUAAAUUGGUCUGUUUAAGGGUGACUAUCCAGUAAUCUACCACAUGAGAAGCCAAAGAAAAUGGGACAUGGCUAAUGCACGAGAACGACUAGAGAUAAUGACCAAAUUCAUCAUAUGCAAAUGCAACUGUAAAAGGUGAAAGUAUUCUCCAUCACCAUGAAGGGCAAUAUAACAUUUUUACUGCAUUGGUAUCACCAACUCUUUGGAUUUAAUCUGAUAGUUGCUGCACUCAUGAAAGUCUCAUUUCCUUCUUUAUUAUUGGCAGAGGGAAAUAUUUUUCUUUCUCGAAAAACUAUGCUGUAAUAAUAGUAGUGAUCUUUCAGUUAUCAUUUGAUUUUGAUUUUUUUGGGGUAAGAAUUUAUAUUGCUUGGUAAAUUUAGUAGUUGUAAUUAAAUUUAGGUAAAUCUUAUGUACAUUGACAAUUUAUAUAUUAUCAUAGUUGGAUGCAUGACACAUGAGCAAAUUUUGAAUUGCAAAUUUAAAUUUAAAUGAGUUGCCGUACAUGCAGUAGUGAUAGUUAUACACUGUCAAUGUAUAAAAGAUUAAUCCAUAAAGUUUUGGUGACAGAAAUACUUACAAUUUUUUCGAGAAUCAUUUGGUUAAAGACACCACUUGAAACUUUUUGUUUGUAAAGGCGAAGAAAGGACCAUGGAGAUCUUUGGACAAAAGCAAAUUGGUUUUAGUAAGUACGUUAAUACAUGAAUUUUCUUCUCGCUAAAAUUAGCUCAGAUUGUAGUUUCUAUCUCAAUUUAGCAUUUCUCUUAUCCUUCAUGUUCGAUUAAAACACACAUGCUCAUUUUUGCUUCUUUAACAAGAUCGAAGCCAAGUUUGGAGUCAGAUUCAAUUUCUAAAUUCAUAUUUUAUUUUUAUUAAUAUGUCAAUGACUUCAAUUUUCAAAAACAAUAAAAACAAAUGAAAACAAAGUGUGUGAAAAGAUAAUUAAAUCCCAUGUUUUUUGGGCAAUUGCUGGGCCCAAUACGACACAAAAUCAGGAAGACCAAUUCUUAAUGUUCGUACCCAAAGUCCAUCUGGUUUUCAACGAACCAAAAGAACGGAAAUUGCGCUAUUAAAUAUUCUUCGGGAGCUCCCGCGAUGGUCGGAGUUGAUUUGUGAAGUGGGUGUGCACUCUGGACUCUGGAGUCAAAUCUACAAUUUAAUUAAAGUGUAUGGGCUUCCUUCCUGGAAUGGGCCGCUAUCCAUGCAGAAUUUGGAUAUUACAGGUUCUACAAGAAUCAAGAUUGUAAUCAUGUAAAUAAAAUUUACUCCCUCCGUCUCAAUUUGAUAAUCCUGAUUUUGUUUUCACACAAUUUAAGAAAAAAUAGUUAACUUUAUUGGGACAAUCAAUUUAGGUAACUAUUUUUCUAAAAUACCCUCACAUUAAUUAGAAUACAACUUUAUGGGAACUUGAAUUGAUUGUAAAAAAAGAAUCAACUCUCAUUAAAUAGGGUAGGUUUAUAGUCACAAUAACUUACAUUGAAUAAGAGUAUUUUAGAAAAAUUAAAAUACAACUGCAUUUUUCAAUUGGAAAGUGGACUACAAUUUGAGACAGAUAAAAAAGGAAAACAGGACUAUCAAAGUCGGACAGGAGGGAGUAUCUUCGAACUUACCCAAAAGUUAAGAAAAUACAUAUUUUUGGAGCAAAUUAUCCGGUUGGUCACUAAACUUUUGCGAUCGUCGAAUUUUGGUCACUCAACUAUUAAAAGUCUGGUUUUAGUCACUAAACUAUAUAAAGUUAAAACAUGAGGCCAUUCUGUUACAUUUGGCCGUUAAGUUCGCAGAUCUGUCUAUCCGCGCGAUUUCAAAGAUAAAAGACGGGGUUAAUUUAGGAAGUUCAAAUGAAUUAAAAGCUGAUGAGCAAAGCGGGGACAUAAAUAUAACUGGAACAAAGCAUAAAAUACGCAGUCAAAUUGGGAGUUGAAGAAGCAAAUAGUACAGAUUACGAGGGCCUCCAAAUCUAAUGCUCGAUCGAAGCUUUUCUCUUCAUCCCCUUCAAUCACCUCAACCACCUUCUCAAGUCGCCAGUCGAAGAAGGUGAAAUCUCCCCUGCCGUGAGACUCUUGGUGUAGCAAGGAGAUUCACCCGAAAUUUGAAUUUUAACCGAUUGCACCGAACCCAGCUAGAAACAGAUCUGCAAUUGCUUUUGGACUAUAUGGUGAGUUUGAUCACGUCAGAGGAGAAGGUGGAAACCUUGAUGUCUUGCGCCAGAAAGAUUGAUUCCCAUUUCUGACUUCUGUAUGUGUGAUUUCUUGAUGGUUAAAAGGCUUUUGCAUAUUUUCCUAGCGAGUGAUAGCGGGAAAAAUAAGCUACUUGUAAUUACCCGACCUUCUGUGUAAUUUGGGCAAAAGUGUAUAUUAAGCUGAACGUGUUCUGCCCACUUGAACUGAGUAUACUGUACACCGCUGGUAAGGGGCACCCCGCACAGGGUACAGGUGAACAAAGUUGAUAGCAUGCGCCCAAUUAUGGGUGAAAAGAUGAACAAAUUAUUCAGAGUUAGCCCAAAUUCCAUUGAUCAAUACUACCUUAUAAUCAACUUGAUACCAUAUUCAAUUGUAUGAAUUUUUUGACUUCAUAUUCAAGGUGAAUUCUAUAAAUAGAAUUCCAAAAUUUCCCCUAUGGAAAAAUCAAUUCUUAAUUAAGUUAGACUUCAGUCUGCACCCAAGUGCCAUUCCAGACCCUAUUAGUCUUCAUGGGGGUUGCUGGGUGAUUGAAGGUGAGAAAUGGUCGGCAACAAAGUGGAUUCAUGUAGACAACUUCGACAAGAUUUUGGGAUCCACUGAUAAUUGCGCCCCUUCAAUCACCUCAACCACCUUCUCAAGUUGCCAGUCGAAGAAGGUGAAAUCUCCCCUGCUAUCAGACUCUUGGUGUAGCAAGAUGAAUAACCCCAGAUGCACUCCACAAGCAUUUUUAAAGCUUGGGCUUCUCAUAUAAUCUCCGUAGCCCGUGCCUGCACCAUAUGGGUCUGGGACAGGGAACAACAAUCUCUUCUUUAGCAGAUUCUGUUGCGGCCAUGUAAUUAGGCACCGCACUGGUCAUGCCUCUGGAUUGUUGGUGCAAGCCACCACCGCUGUACUGGUGGUAAUUAGACCUUGGUGUUGGGGUUUGAGCUGUAUGACCGCAUCUUUCUUCCACUGCAGCAUAUCUAGGACUGGCGGAGCAGACUUGGAGAGGCCUUGUUUUGGACGGAGAAGGUGUGACAGGAGAGUGGAGAGAUAGAGCUUGUUGGGUCGACCUAUGAAGAGGGGAACAAGAGGUACAAGUGGAUGUUGAACUUCCUAUAUUAACCUUGCCUUUUAUCUUGGAAAUCGCACAGACAGACAUAUCUGUGAACUUAACAGCCAAAUGUAACAGAAUGGGCUCGCAUUUUAAUUUUAUACAUUUUAGUGGCUAAAACCAGACUUUUAAUAGUUGAGUGACCAAAACUCGACGAUCGUAAAAGUUUAGUGGCCAACCGGAUAAUUUGCUCCAUAUUUUUGUGUGUUAAUCCUAUGGUAGAUAUGUCUCAUAGCAUACCAAGAAAUGCCAUGCGAUAGUGUUUUUGUCGUGUAAUGCACUUUAAAGUUUCACAACUCUUUCAAACGCCCUCCGAGAGACGGAGAGAGGGCACAAGUCCCUAUUUCCAUGAGUGAAGAACAUCUGACUUCGUCUAUUCUCACUCAAGAAUCUAAUAACACUAAUUAGAAAGUAAAAUUCACAUGUGAUAUUAGGCUCAUAAAUACUAAGAAUUGUUUAUUCUGUAUUGAUUUGAAAGAGAAAGAAUGAGUGCUUAAUAUACAAAUAAGACUCGAAAACUGCUAGUUUAAACUUUUAAGUCAAAAUUACACUCUUUAACUUAUGUUGGACUUGUUUGAUGAGCUCUCUCACAUUUUUCUCUUCACUAGUGUCAUCAGAGUUUUUUAGUUACGAAUCUAGAUUACUUAUCUUCUUGGCAUUAGUUUGAUGAAUUGGUCUCUUCUUGGUAUUUAUUGGAGUACUUCUAGUUAAGAGUCUAGACUACUUAUUGAUAAAUGGUUUCUUCUUGAUGAGGUGAAUUGUUCUCUUAUUGGUAUUGAACUAAGAUGCCAAAUGUUUGGUGGGAGAUCCUAUUGAUGUUGGACUAAGAAGUUAGGGGCUUCUUGAUGUUAGACUAAGAAAUUAAGGGCUUGGCAGGAGUUUGAUAUCCAAUUUGGAUGUUAAAAAAGAGGGGGUUUAUGACUAUGAGUUUGAGAAGUAAUCUUGAAUGUCAAGGAAGAGUUUGUGAAUUUUGGUUCAAGGUAAUGGACUAUUCAUGAAGAGAGAAAUUGUUAGCUUCGUGAUAAGGAUAAUUUGUCUCACAUUGUUUUGAAAGAGUAACACAAAAUGCUUAGUACAUAUGUAAGGGAUUGAGACUUAUUCAUUUAAAUAUUUGAGUUAAAAUUGAGCCUCUUUGCGAGCACUCUUAGGUUUUUUCUCUCCAAUAUAUAGUUACUGAAUUAUUAUUUUUUGAAAAAAUGUAUACCGCCUACAUUUGCAUCCUAAAUGAUCAUACCUCAAAUUUCAACAAAAGAACAUUUGUUUCCCUAAAAAAGAUGUCUCGUUUGAAAAAACACGAACGUUGAAAAUUAGUUCUCAUUAAAUUCCUGCAAAAUAAAAUUUUUCUUAUGAAUAAUUGAAGUUUGUUUCUAAUUUGUAACCUAUUGGCUCCAACACCAACUACAUAACCACACAACCAAGUGAUUAGAGAAAAAAAAAUCCUUGAUCUCCUCCUCAAUUAACAAAUCAAACGACAAAUUCCAGCUUAAUCAUUUAAAAAAACAAAAGAAAAAAAAGAAUACACCAGUAUAUUCCAGAUAACCAUUAAAAGCAUUCAAGAAUCUAAAUCUACUAGUGUGAAUACCUGUGCUACGCACGGUGCUGACAUUAUUAAAAAAAAUAAAAAUAAAAUGGUGAACAAAUAAAGGUGAAAAAAUUGAACCAACAAAAUUAAAAUGUAAUAUCUGAUUAACAAUAGUUUGAAAUAUAAUAGAAUGUGUAUAUCAUUCAAGAACUGUCUUUUUUCGGAAGAUGGAUCCUGAAAAAAAAAUAAAAAUUUAUAUUAAAAAAGGGAAUGAUAUAUUUCUACAAAUGAAUGUAAUUGAAUGUAGUUAAAAUGAAAUACUUACAAAGACUAAGCAUUCGAUUCUAUAAUUUUGUUUGAAGGUGCGAACACUCUUCACACCAAUCCACUUUUAGUAAGAAAGCCAAAAUUGGUGAUUUAAUUAACUCUGUUGAAUUUUGUGGAAUGCGUACUACAAAUGAAAAUGCACAAUCUUUGCAUGAAUUAAUUCGUUGGCUGAACAACCUAUCACCAUUUUCCUGAUAAUUAAGAACGUACGAAAUUAGUGUAUUUUUUUACAUAGUUUAUAAAUAGUAUUAUAAAAAAUAAAUAUAUAUUAAGAAAUUCUACAUUCCUUUGUAAUUUUCUGAGAUAAAAAGUAUCAUAAUCAAAUACAAAUCGUGCAUGUCUGUCUUGUAGAUUAAGAUGCAUGUUACCACUGAAAUGUCUUAUUUAUAUGUUAACAUUGCACCUGUUUGACAAAUAAAAUACUAUAUGUAAUACAGAAAAAUAUAUUGAAAUUAAAUAUACAUGAAAUUAAUUACCUAAUAACAGUGUCAACAAUGUCAUUACAGUGCAUACACACUGUCUUUGAAAAAUGACCGUCACAUAGUUGUCCACAAUUUUUGCAUAAUUCGUAGAACAUAUUUUCUAUGUUAAUGCUCGGAAUGUAAGCAAAUAUUCGAAAAUAUUUAACCUAAUAAGAAUGAAAUAAGAUAUAGGUUAUGAUUAUAACUUAAAAAAAUUCGUUCAGUAAUUAAUUAAAAUUGAGUAAGCUUAUCGUAGGCAUGAUUAUAUAUUCAAAUAUCCAUAUUCUCUUUGAAUUUGCUAGAGCGAAUUGCGCGAAAUGUCACUAAACUAUUUCAAAGUGCCGGUUUUGGUCACUAAACUUUUUUAUUAGCGUGAAAUGUCACUGAACUAGUAAAUCUGUACCGUUUUGGUCACUCCGUGUAUUUGUGCCGUCAGGAGAGACGGAAAUCAACUUUUUGAGGGGCAAAUUCGUCUGCACAGUCUUUUCCUUGAAACUCUCCACCAUAAAUCUGAAUCAAAUGUCAGACAACUCGUAAGUUCAAUUAGGAAGUGCAAACCCUUAUCCUGUAAUAGAUUUCUUCUGCAAAUAUGGAGUAGGAGGGACAAUAUACGAAGUUGCAAUUUGCUGGGAAUGUGUUGAAGCUUCAUUGGAGGAAUACCUAAGAAAAGAACUCCGACUUGCAAUUUGCUGGGAAUGUGUUGAAGCUUCAUGAGAGGAAAAGGCAAGGAAACAACUCCGACCUGCUCUUGUGGCAGUAAAACCAAUUUGAAGACUUCAUGGACUGAUAGGAACCCGGCAAGGAGAUAUGUUGAAUGUGCUAAUGGCAAGGUAAGUGUGUGAAGAUAUAGGAAAUUCGUUAAAUUAGGUUAAUGUUUAAUUGUUUAGACAUUUAUCGGCUAAAAAGAAUUUGGAUAAUUUUUUUGUAGGUUGAUGGCUGUGGUUAUUGGAAUUGGUAUGAUGAAGAAAUGUGUGAGCGUUCGAAACAAGUCAUACCCGGUCUUUUAAGAAGAAUAAAUAGGGUGGAAACCGAGAAUGAAACUUUGCGGCAACAAAUUCUCAAGUUGCAAAAGAAAGCUGAGAAAAUGGAGGAUAAAGUAAAAAAUCUGAAGGAGAAGCUUGGAAGAAAGAAAGUGAAAAAAAUGGUCAUUGUUCUUUUUGUUAUGGCCUGGACAAUUGUCAAUGCAUCAAUGUGGAUUUGGGGGCCUAACAAGGGACAGAAGUUUGGAAGGCUGCAAAUUGAUGGCUACUAGAGUAUUGUUGUACUUCAAAUCCUAAACCAGUGUUGCUCAAUGUUUUAAUACACAGCUCGUUUUUGUUGAGAUUGUAGUGUUUUUAUUACACCUCAUUUUGGUUGGUGUUGUUUACACCAUGGAUGUUUGAAAUUGUAAUUUAUGAAUAAAAGACUGAAGUAUUAGUUCCAACAUAUGGGUGGUGCAAAAGAAAAGUAGCUCACAAAUGCAGAAAACAUAAAGCCAAAUACAACAAAAGAGAUAAUUAUCAUUAUCAUUCCAAACAGCUGCUUUACAAAAGAGAUAAUUGUCACUGUCAUUCCAAACAACUGCCAACAAAGUUAGCCAUGUUUCACAUAUAAAUAAUCUGGAAUUGUCCUAGACAUAGAAUACAUCCAAACAAAAGCUAUGCAAACAAGUCCUUUAAUCUGAUCUUCCACUUCUACUUCUACUGCUCCUUGAUGUUCCAGCCCAUCUACCAAUCUUGAAUGGAGGCUCUUUGCCCAAGUACUCAUAGUUGGUGUUGAUCCUUAUCUUGUCAAUUUCAGACAGCUUUCUCUUUGAAUGGAGAGACUGUUUGUUGGCCGCUGUAGUAGACUGGUCGGUAUCAUUGACAGGCCUAACUCUCCUCACCUGUACACAAGUACAAUAAAUAUUAACAAUAGCUAUUUACCAUAGUAAAAUUAAAAAUAAAAUUAGAAAUAAAUUUUUGCACCUACAGGUGUCUUAGUCUUUCUAAUCUGCUGCUUUUUCGUACUACUACUGGUAGCUUGUGCAUUACGUUCAGCAUGUGAACCAAUGUCAUUAUGGGAAGUAGUUUGCUCUUCAGCUCCAUGUGGCUGAGAAUUGACACAACUUGAAGAAUAUCCUUGAACUUCCACAUGAGCAAAAUCAGGCUCCUGAGAAUUAGCUCCAUGUGUUGUGCUUGAGCCAUUGUUGGUGCCCUUUGACUUUCUAGCAUGUUUAGGAGUUGGAGCAGGUUGACUGCAGCCUUCACCUCCAUUAUUUUCUGGAACACUUUUGCAGGUAGCAGCAUUGUGGCCUGCCUGACCACAUCUUCUACAGUGCAUGAUCACAUGCUUUUUUAAUUUUUGCACAUUAUUCGUUCCCACAUGAACACCACUUUUAUUUUCAGAACUACCUUUUCUUCUUGCUUUCUUGGGCCUACCAGGUUGGACACAUGCAAGUGGAGGAUCUAAUAUGGGAAUAUCACUCUGAGGCCAUAGAGACUUUCCACUAAUUGGAUAUAGUACAUUCUCAUAUAUUUGAAAGAAUAGAUAUCUACUAUAACACUGAUCGGCAUAGUCAUUUGGGUUCCUACCAAUUUUUAAAAUGGCAGAAAUUGCAUGGCAGCAGGGGAGCCCACUAAUUUGCCACAACCUGCAUGUACAGGUUCUGUCUCUUAAGUACACAGCAAAUUGUUCCCCCUUAGGUCCCCUAACCUGAUAUCCCCCCUUCCCAUUUGAUAUUGGCUUCCACUUUCUAGAAAACUUUUCCCUCUCCUCAAUCAAAGCCUUUAUUGCUGGUCCCACAGGACCACUACAUUUUCUCAUCCAACACACUCUAUUUGAUAUCCUUUCCAUCACGAAUUCUCUAAUCCACUUAACCAUCCCAAUCACUGGCAACUCUCUAGCAUUUAAUAUAUGAGAAUUAAAUGUCUCUGAUAAAUUAUUAACCAGCAUGUCAGAUUUCACGUGAAGUGGAAAAAAAGCCUUACACCAGUGAUGAGGUGGUGCAGCUCUCUUGACCCACGCGUGAGCUUGCUGGUCAUAUGCUCUAAGCUCUUCCAAAGCUGCCUCAUAGAACUCUACUGUUGAUGCUGCUGCAAUGCUCCAGAAUUUUUCUUUAAGCACUUCACCAGGGUGCUUUUUCUUGAAAUUUCUGUACAUAUGUUGUACACAAUAUCUAUGGCCAGCUUCUGGUAAUAACUCCAGCAGUGCACUAUCAAGACCCUAUAAAAGAGUUCUAAGUUUAGUCACUUGCAAAAAUUAUCCUAUACAAUACAUGCUAUAAGGAUAAAGAACAGUACUCCUAACCUUCUGUUGGUCUGAAAUAAAAGUGUAUUCACUGCUAGUUGCUGGUAUUUCUAGAUCACCAAUCAGUAAACUCAAAAACCAAAGCCAUUGUUCCCGAGCCUCCUUCUCAACAACUGCCCAAGCUAAUGGCCACCAACCAUUAUUUGGAUCUGCCCCAAUAGCAAUCAACAACUGCCCUGGAUAUGCCCCCUUAGUGUGACAGCCAUCAAGAGCAAUAAGGGGCCUACAUCCCUCUCUAAAUCCCUUUUUCAUUAGUCCCAAACAGCAGUAAAAUCUCAUGAAUCUGGGAUUACUUUCAGGAUCAGCUCUUGGUGAAUACUUGAUGUCUAUGGUGGUGUCAGGGUGAGUUUUUUGUAGUUCUGCUGCAUACCUCCCAACAUCAAUAUACUGCUGAGAUGCUGACCCUUUGAUAGCAGCCUUAGCCAUUGCAAGUGCUUUGUAACCUUUGUUUCUUGUGAUCUCGCAACUAUAUUGCUCAUCUAUACUCUGUAACAAUUGCCUAACAGGCAUGUUCAUGUUGGAUCUAACAGACUCUUCAAACUUGUCUGCUACCCAAUUGGAUGUCAUGUUUUUGUUUCUCCAAGCAUGGCUGCAAUUGGUGUGGACAUCGUAAAUUGUUUUAACUACAAAGUCUUCAGUACCCAAAGCAGGAACGUGGCUAGCAUAAAUGUACCACUUACACGGAUCUGCACAUUUAGCUCUCAUUCUUGUUUUGUCACUUGUAUACAUGUAUACAGGUCUUCCACUUAUAAUUGCAUAAUUUCUGAGAGCAUCUCUGAACUGUUUUUUGGUUCCAAAUUUUUGUCCAACAUGAAAAUGGGGAUCUGUUCCAUCUCUGCUAGCAUUGAAACUAGUGUAUCUCACAGGAACAUCUUCAUCUUCUGAAUCUGGAUCACUAUUUAAUUCCCCUUCCACAAUAUCAUCCAAUAGUGGGUUGUGUUCAGCUUCAGUUUCAGGACCAGCUUCUGUUUCAGCUUCAGUUGCUGCACCUUCUCUAUUUUCACAUGCUUCAGCUUCAGUUGCUGCCCCAGUUUCUGUUACAGGUUCAGUUGCUGCACCUUCUCUAUUUUCACAUGCUUCAGCUUCAGUUGCUGCCCCAGUUUCUGUUACAGGUUCAGUUGCUGCACCUUCAUUUGUUGCACCUUCACCUACUGCACCUCCAUUUGAUGCACCUUGACCUGCUGCCCCUCCAUUUGAUGCACCUUCAGUUGCAGCACCAUUAUUUGAUACACCUUCAUUUGCUACACCUCCUUUUCUAACUCUUUUUGUAGCACCACAAAUGGCCUCCGACGUACGAGAUUUUCUCCUAUCUCUGUUUCUUCUAUUCCUGGAACUGUCAUUGUCCCUCCUAUUCUGACUUGAUGGAGUUGGGUCAUUAUCAACUUGGCUAUGCAUUUGUGGCUCGGACUCCUGUGUAUUGUUGUUGGCCUGUUCACAUCUCCUAGAAGAAUUUUGGUAUGCAUCUUCAUCUUCACCAGCAUGGUCAUGUGUCCACUCUAAAGCUGCAACUGAUCUACUAGCUUGGACUCCUUUUCGUUGUCUAUGAGGUAUUGCUGCCUGUUGUGUAAGAAUUUCACCAUCAUCCAAGAUCUCCUCUAUUACCACUGAACUCUUUGUCUGUGGUAACUGUUCCAAUUCCUUUUUCUUCUUCCACUCAUAUAUUUCCUCAACUGUUAAAUGAUGACAGUAUACUUCCAUCAACUUGUACUCAUUAACCCAACCACAGAAUUGCAUAAUGUCUUCAUCCGUUUGAAGUUCCAUCAGUCCAUGGUUCAAAUCCCCUCUAGGGUCAAUGUAAUAAUAUAACAUAGUAUCGUUGUGCCCACACUUUUCCACCAUUUUAUUUAUUUCAUGAAUCGACAUAAAAUCAGCAUGGCAAAGAUCGAAAUAAUCAAUCUCUCCAACCACAUAACUCUUGUAUUUCUCUCCCUCAAUUUUACCGCCGUGGUGGAGUUUAAUCGAAAAUGCAGGUAUAUCAGGAACUGCAACAACAACGACAAAGGCAAACAACAUGAUUCUUGUUAAUCACCAUUUUUUAUUGUCAUACAUGUUGUUCUUCUUAUAAAAAUACUUAACCCCCAUUUGUUAAUUAACCCGAAUCAGACAACUGCAUUUUGAAAAGUUUAUUUUUUUCAUUAAAUUACAAGAUAGAGGGUUCUUGUAGGACCCCUUGCAACCCACUUAUACGACAAAAAGCGAAGUCAAUCGUUCUUAUGUCAUUUUCUAAACAACUGGAUCACUUCAGCAAACCCUAAACCCAAUAAAAACUCUCACUAAAUACUUCUUUAUACUCAAAACACAAACAACACCAUUAAUCAAGCAAAAUGUGUACGGAUUGUAAUAUUUCUUACCGUAUAAUGUGUACGGAUCAAUGAAUUCAUCCCUUUGCCUUUUCACCCAUUUCCCUGCCAUCGAUGAUCGAUUCUUCACAGCUAAUCUUCGUCUUUUGCCGGUUCUUUGAGUCUUGUCACUGAUUACUGUGAGAAGAAUGUAUCAAUUUUGAUACUUUUCACUGUCAUUGUCCACAUUCCCAAAAAUUUUACCAACAUCCCAAAGCCCCACAGUUAAACCUUUCACUUACCAGAUGAAACUCUUCCCACUAAGGCUGUGCAGACGAAUUUGCCCCUCAAAAAGUUGAUUUCCGUCUCUCCUGACGGCACAAAUACACGGAGUGACCAAAACGGUACAUAUUUACUAGUUCAGUGACAUUUCGCGCUAAUAAAAAAGUUUAGUGACCAAAACCGGCACUUUGAAAUAGUUUAGUGACAUUUCGCGCAAUUCGCUCAAUUUGCUAUCAACAGUACUUGUGGUGUUGUGAAAUUGCUUGAUCUCAGUCACGUAACUAACUUGCGGGCACAUGUAUUAUUUUCAAACCUGCAAUUUUUUUGAAAUACAUGUCAAUAAGAGUACGAAACAAUAUUAAUAGUUUGAUAUAGUGUUACUGAGGAACUCACCAACUGCGCAGGUAUCAAGCAAAAUCUAAAUUGUGAUUAAUAUAUAAUUUGCUAACUCCAAUUGUACACAGUGAUGGUCCUGCAUAGUAUGGUUAUGUUCGCUCAAAAGCUAUUCAAAAUAUAUAGAAUAUAACUAAAAUCAAUUGAUUUACCUCUGAAAUUUCGUACGCAAAUACCAAAUGCUAGUAAAAUAUUAUUUUUUGUAGCAAACUGAUAUAACCGUUCACCAUCAUCAUUAGCAAAAUUAUCCCCCAAUAUGAAUCGAGCUACUGUCAAACUGUGUUGACAAAAUUUUGAUAAGUGCAAAUGUGGGGGGAAACGUGGGAUGAUGAUUAGAGGAUUUGUAGAAGUGGUUAUAGGAUGAAUUAAGAGAUAGUUGGAGUGGACUCUUAAUUGAAGUGGGAAACAUGGGAGGAAAUAUAGGGGGAAACGUGAAUGAUGAUUAGAGGAUUUGUAGGAGUGGUUGUAGGGUGAGUUAAGAGAUAGUGGAAAUAUUUUAAAUUUAAAUUUAAAUUUGAUUGGUGAUAAGGUGGGUUAUAACUCACUACUAUCUAUAUCUAUAUGUAUUCAAGAAGGAAUUUUUAGUAGAAACCCUCUCAAUGGUUUCUAAAUUUCUCAUUCUUUUUUCUAAAUUUUUGUAUUUAUUUUAAUACAUAAAAAGUAGUGGAUUAUAACCCACCUUAUCACCAAUCAAAUUUAAAUUUAAAAUAUUCCCACUAUCUCUUAACUCAUCCGACAACCACUCUUACAAAUCCUCUAAUAAUCAUUCCACGUUUCCUCCUACAUUUCCUCCCAUGUUUCUCACUCCAAUUAAGAGUCCACUCUAAUUUAAGAAUUUCACCCCAAUUAAAACUCCUCCAAACAUAGCAUCCUCUUUCAAUUUUUUUGCAUGCUCAUUCUUAUUUUUUGGUUAACCAAAACUAGAAUCUAUUAUCUCUUUCAUCUUUUUGUGGUGUCAAUCUUAGUUUUUAACUUAAUUUCACCAUGAAAUAUGCCCGCCUACAAUCCAUUCAAUAACAACUAAAUUUCAUACUCGCAAGAUUGCAAAGGAGGAAACAUUUGCUUAGAAAACGAAACGUACACCGCAACGAUUUCACACACCAGUUGAAAAAGUUUCAACAAUUUUGCGCUGACGAAAGAGAAAUCUCAAAUCAAAUUCGAAGGACAAAAUCCAGGCUACACCGAUUAAAACGUCGUUCGUAUCAAAUUAAAAAUUUCGUUACUGUGUAUUCUUUAAAUAUUGGCAUUUCCAUUGUAAUUUCAAAUAUUAUUCCCAAUACUGUUAUAUUUUUUAUUAGUUUCGAUUAUUUCCAAUACUAUAAUAUGUCUAUAAUUUUUGUAACCCUUUUAGUGAUCGAGUUAAUUAACUGAUCGAGUUAAUUCCUCCACCCUCGCUCUCAGUUUCUUCUUUGUUUUUGGUUCUCUAUUGAUUUUGUAAAUGUAUUGAUUUUGUUUUUUUUGUGAGCAGUUAUGGAAGAGAUUAUGUACAGAGACUUCAACGGAAAUCAACCUUCUUGCGAAGAACUGGAAAUAUAUUCUUGCCGGCUUAAUUUUUCAGGUCAGUCCCCUCUGCCCCUCCUUUUUGUCAUGUUUUGCUUUUCUUUUAAGGUGAUUUGGUCUUUUACUUUCUUUAUUUUUUCUCCUUUUAUUUUCUGGGCUGGUGGAUGGUUUGCAUCGUAUACAUGAUCAAUGCUUUAAAGAGGCCAUGUGAAUAGCUGCGUGAUGUAUAUAAUAUUUUAUUUGUUAAACAGGUAUAAUGUUAACAUACAAAUCAGAGAUUCCAGUGAUAACAUGCAUCUUAAUCUACAAGACAGAUAUGCACGAUUCGUAUUUGGUUGUAAUACUUUUUAUCUCAAAGAAUUACAAAGGAAGGUAGAAUUUCUUAAUAUGUAUUUAUUUUUUAUAGUACUAUUUAUAAACUAUGUAAAAAAAUACACUAAUUUCGUACGUUCUUAAUUAUCAGAAAAAUGGUGAUAGGUUGUUCAACCAACGAAUUAAUUCAUGCAAAGAUCAUGUAUUUUCAUUUGUAGUAUGCACUCCACAAAAUUCAACAAAGUUAAUUAAAUCACCAAUUUUGACUUUCGUACUAAAAGUGGAUUGGUGUGAAAAGUAUUCGCACCUUCAAACAAGAUUAUCAAAUCGAAUGCUUAGUAUUUGUAAGUAUUUCAUUUUAAUAACAAUCAAUUACAUUCAUUUGUAGAAAAAUAUCAUUCCUUUUUUAAUAUAAAUUUAUAUUAUUUUUUCAGGAUCCAUCUUCCAAAAAAGACAGUUCUUGAAUGAUAUACACAUUCUAUCAUAUUUUAAGCUAUUGUUAAAUAGAUAUUACAUUUUAAUUUUAUUGGUACAAUUUUUUCACCUUUAUUUGUUCACCCUUUUAUUUUUAUUUUUUUCAAUAAUGUCAGCACCGUGUGUAGCACAGAUAUUCCUACUAGUUAAAAAAGUAUUAUUGGUAGAUAUUUCCCAAAAGCACCAUCCAUGACUUCUCAAUUCUCAUUUAUUGGGGAGAUCAUGAUGCUUGUAUUUAUCAUGUUAUUUUGGUAGGUAUACCGUAUAGUGCAUAAAAUACAAAGUACAAAUGUACCUAAUGGACUAAAUUCCCAAAAAGCAGAAGUUUUUAAUCUAACUUCCCAAAAGGUGGUGAUUUUUAAACCUCUUCUCAAAGGAUGAAAAAUGCAUCCAUGGAAUGCAUUGUUUCAAAUAAAAAUGCAAUUUGUAAGUACGUUGUUCUAAUUUUCAGACAUUUAUUGAAAUAGGAAAAAAUGGUUAAAAAUGCUAUUUUAUAAAAAGUCUCAUAUAAUGAAUGCAUUUUUUGGCUUAAAAACACAUUUUCGAAAUGCAUUCAUUAAUUAAAAAAAACUCAUCUAACAAAUGAGCUUUUUAGAACAGACAUAAGUACUAAAAGAAUGUAUUUGCCCUCAAUCACUCUUAAUCUCUUUCUACCCUUUAACUUCUUCAGAGGCCAAAUGAAACAAACCACCCAUUCAAAUUUUUCGUAUAUCUUAUCCCAUAACCACCUUCAUCUCAUAGAUAAUAUAUUAUUAUUCGCAGCCAACGUAAAAGCAAUUUUGAUUAGGAGACUGCUAAGUUUCAAAUUAAGGCAUAUUGUCAGGUAAUACUUAAAAGUUUGAAUUUAGGGUUUAUGAAAUAAAUGCAUUUAAUUAUUUUAAAAAGCAAAAAGCAAACUUGAGAUGAUUCUUUGGUGUUUAUUGACAGAGGAAGACACCUCACAAAUGGCAUUUUUGUCUAGAGUAGUGGAUAAUGAAGAAGGUUUCUCUUCCCUCAAUUGCAAGUUGGAACAAACACUUGGUAUGUGUACUGAAGUGUAUCUUCAUUUUUCUUUUUAUUUUUUGUUGUCUUUGGUGCUAAAAUUGAAAAUAUGCAUGGGUAGAAAGGAUGGAUGUAAUGGGGGUGGUAAGGAUUGAUGCUUAAGUGCCCAAAUUUUGUUUAUGUUAUUUGUUCAUAUGCUAAAAAUAGUUUCACGAAUAUUAGUAAUAUGUUGCGGUGCAAAAUGUAGCUGCGUAUGACAUUCAAGACUUUAGAUACAUGCAUGUCUACUCUUUUUCAGUCAUUGCUAGGUAGUUCUUGAAAUUUUUUCUUAUUCUUUACUGGUUGUUGGCGAAUAUAAAUGUUGGAUUUAUAGAUACUAAUCUAAAUUCACGUAUGGUCAUGUCAAAAUUAAAAGAAAUUAGAGACCGCUAUAGACUUUAUUUUUGAAAGAUUCUUUUACAGCAUAGAACGUAAUAACUGUGGGCAGCCUAGAAGUUUAGGAGUUACCUACAUUUACAAGAUAUGAUUCGUUUUAAAAUAUACUUCUUAUUUAUGGUAUUUUUCAUCAUUCGAGAUGAAUUGAUUGCAGUUUACAUUGCAUUUGAAGGCUUGUUAGCAUAUGUUUUAAUGGAUUUUUAAAAUCCAUUGAAGCUUACUUUAUAUUGGGAUGGUCAUAUCCAAUAUUAUCUUGAAUUAGUAUUCAUAACCCCAAUUGGCAAGGUUGUUACAAUCAACCAAGGAUAAGAUUUGGAGACUUACUAAUAUAUACUUAUAUAUUAGAGUGGAUAAAUUAACUGUAGAUUUGAACCUCAUCUACAAAUAUCCUGAUCAUGGACCAUGGGGUUUCAAGUUUUGCCUAUUGCUAAUAAUGGAUGAAAAGGAAAUGGAUAUGAUAUUUUGUUUAGCAGCUCAGCAUCCAAAUACUAUGGUUCAUAUAUACGUUGUCCGAGAACCAGUUCUCAAUUGUAGGGAUGGCAAUAACAUCUUCACCAAUAAGGAAAUGGCUCCAUACAUAAAUGUUGAAUCCCCUGGUAUUACUUACACCUACAAUUUCAUGCACUCAAUCUUUUCUUAAAGAUAAGCAUGGUGCACAAUGGUUUGCAUCUUCAAAUAAUGAUAUUAUUUUUCCUACUAUGAGUAGCAUGUCACCGUCAUUGAAGCCCAUCCAACCAUCAUUUUCUACUCUUUUAGCGUCACAAAAUCCAGUCGAAUAUACAAAACAUGAUGAAAGUGCAUGUGUUAACCAAUAAGGAUAGAUGCAUUUGCUAGAAGAUGUUGUUGACUAUCCUAGUUCAUUUUAACUGGAACAUAAUCUAUAAGAAAUUGAAAAUAUGACAACCAUUUUAGCACCUGAAGAACCUAUUGUUAAGGCUGAAACUGGAAAUGCACUUGGAAUAACUGAUGUGAUUCAUAAUUUGGUCUGGAAUGAAGCAUCUUUGCCGUCUAGAGAUGAUGCUUUUUAUUGACGUUGAACAAGGGCAGUCUGAUGAAGAUAGUGAUUCCAAUGUAGAGGUUGAAAAUGGACAAUGCAUUUUUUAGGAUGAUAAUGGUAUUGAUAAUGGUCGUACUGGUGACAAUGUUACUUUUAAUCCUGAUGAAUUACCUCCUUACGAUCCAUCCAGAAUGCAUUUUUAUUUAGAUAUUAGAGAUCUUGAUAAAUUUGUUAUCACUAGUAGGGAAUCUCCAACAAGGAUAGACUUUUGAAGUGAAAAUAGUGUUGCAAUUUGCAAGCAUAUGCGAUUCAGUGACAAAGAGCAAUUAAUAAUGGCAGUCCAUCUUUGGUUUAUGGAGCAAUGCCAUGAGUUUCAAGUUCAAGAGAGCCGAAAGCAUAACAUGAAAGUUUGGGUUUGUUCAUUGUAUUCCGAAACCAUGUGACACGGAUUGGGGUUUGUAUCAAGUGAAUCAUCGAGACAGGUGAAAUAUAAAUUGGACCCUUAAGCACCAACGUCACGCCCAAAUGUGAAUGGAUUGAACUUCAAAUAUACAAGAAGGUGAACUUGAGGAUGUUCUUGGUUAGGCUAGCUUAGACUAUAUGACUUGGUAUAAACAGUGCACAAGAUGGCUUAUUGGCAACCCAUCAUUGAGACCACUACUACCAGCUGGUUAUUAGGGAAUUGCACCAGCUAAUAAGAUGAUGGUAACAACCAUUUAGAUAUUUUUAAUUGACUACUUUGUUUAAAGUUGUAUAUUAGCAACAUUAGAAUUUAAAUUGAUAAAAUUUCAGGUAGAUACGUUGCAUCGUGUCUAUUACAGAGCACUUAAAGCAUUACCACAUGCUGAGGCCAUCUCUAUUCUCGUUCUCACUGAUAUUCAAGAUAUGUGCCAGUCAACUAUGUGUGCCAUUGUAUAUGAGAUGAGAUUGAAACUCCCACCAUUGAAUCCAAUAAUGUCACUCUCAAUGGAUGAAGAGUUGCAACAUGUAGUCCCACAGGCACGUGUUUGAAGAGCCAUACAAGAAGGGUCACAAAGAGUCCAUAGAAGGGAAAGAAGAUGAAGACAUGCCAAAAUUGAUCAAAAUAUGGUACGAAAUCAGAUUUUAAGUCAGGAUAAGUUUGUAGGAGACCAUACGGUGAAUCAGGAGGCUAGAGGCAUGAAAAAUGAGCAAACAGCUAAUGAGUUCAAUUAGACAUAUAACCAAACUUUUGAAAUCAAUCUUGAUCAAGGUCAAGGGGAUGAACAUGCAGAAGGUGAUACCACACAUGCAUAAGCUGAUGAACAUGACCUGACACAUACACAAGGUGAUAACUGAUAAGCAUGAUCAGGCACAUGUGGAGUUUGAUUUGCAACAUCAAACACAUGAACACGUAGAUUGAGAUAAACGUGACACUUGUAGAAAUCGAGGUAAAAAUCAACAUCUACCCUUGCAGUCACUAUCUAAAAGAAUCAGGAGGCAAAAAUUGUGUUACUCUUAGGGCAUUCUCAAAUGAUUUAUUGUACUUGUCUUGUUAUAAGAAUUCUUAUUGUAUAUAAGAAUUUGGAUUGAAAACCAAGUAAAGUUAGUAUAUGAAAUUAGAUGUGAGAUUAUAUCCCCUUAUGACAUAUUUGAAUAUGCAAGUGUUUGCUUAACAGGUGAUAUAAACAGUUGAAAAUGAGGGAAAAUUUUGUCCAUUUAUUUUUUUUUAUUAAAUAUGAUUUAAUACACAAAUAAUUGUAUUACUAAAACAAAUCAAAUUACCUUUUCAUAAUACAAUUGGUAACACUUUUGCUUAAACAUGAUGCCUUUCUAUUGACAUAUAGAAUUUUCACAUAAUUAUGUUUUAACUUAUUAUAUCACUUUGUACCUUCAUCCAAUAUCUACAGUUUAGUGUAUAUUCACCUAAAUAUUUUGUUUAAAGUUUUCAGGAUAUGUGAAUAUUCUAGCUCUUUUUAGGCCAUCAUAUUUUUACUUUAAACAUUUAGGAUUAAUUUUUUAUGAAACCAUAAAAUUUUCUUUAUAAAAAGUGUUACGAUUUUUUAAGACGUAAAUUACCAACAUUCGAGAUACUAAAUAUGUAUGUGCAUAUGUCAAAUUCAAAGUUAAAAAACCUUUAAGCCUUUUGCAAACUUGAAAUGAAAUCUAUACCAAUCAAUUAAUAACAACUAUGAAAUAACAUUUUUUUUUGGAUCUUGACUUGUGUUAGUGAGUUAAAUUAAUAAUAACUCUGAUAAAAUAAUAAGACAAUAUUUUUUUUAAAAAACCUCACAUAACCGAAGUCAAUAUCAAAGAAAUGAAAAAAAAGUAGUACAGAUUGAUAAACAAAAAAUGCAUUUACUAAAUGAGUUUUUUUUUUUUGACAAAAUAGCACAUUUUGGAAAUGGAAUUUUUCGUGACAUAAAAAAGCGCAUUCGUCUAAUGCAUUCUUUAGCCAAUUUUUUCCUAUCUCAACAAAUUUGCAAAAAUUCAAACAACGUAUUUGCAAAUUACAUUUUAGUUUAAAAUAACGCAUUUGGUACAUGUGUUUUUCUCCCUUAGGAAAGAAAUUAAAAAAUUGUCACAUUGGGAAAUUAGUUUAAAAACUCCCACUAUUUGGGGAUUUACUCCUACCCAGACUGUUUUAGUUGGGCUGACCCCAUCACCCACGUUCGCUAGAUACUGCAGCAGCCCGCCACGUCAUUUUCGAUAGUCUUUAAACGCUGGAAUUGUCGAUACAUCCCAGUGUGUCAGGUGGUCCACUGUCAGAAAAAGUCAAACGAUCAUGUGGCUGUGAUGUAUUUCUGUAUUUGGAAACUUCAUGUAAUGUCGAGGUGUACAUCUAAGGGCCCCGCAGAUUCCACUUCUCCGCCGUACAAGGCCAGGCGUCCGCUACGGAGGUCCGUAUCGUGGUAGCUUUAGAUUCGGUGCCAGUUUGGCUGCUGUUUGUAGAGUUCUACGGAUCUACACUUUCUUGCUACGUAGACCAGCUGACUUACCUUACGCAUAUAUUCUCCAGGCUCCAAUAAAUGGAAUAGGAAAAACAUAAAUAUUUUGCCCAUAAUUGCAUAUAUUUUAUGUAAAUAUGCUAUUCAAAAAUGCAAUAUUGUGAAAUCAUUCUCAGUAGCGGACAUACUUUUAAAAUCAUUCUCAUGCUUUUUUUUUUUUAUUUUUUUAGUUUUUAGUGUAAUUGAAAAGUUUUGAAUCCGAAAUCUCUCGUUUAUACUCUCUCUCCCCUUUAUUAUCCAACCUAUCUCUCCUCCCAAUUAUUUCCUUGUUAAAAUGUAACACUGGUAAAAUUAACUCGCCACAUGUUUUGUUUUAACUUGGGACCAAGUUAGUUGUUUGCCGAUAAAUUGACUUUUGUUUAAUGUCCUAAACUUUUCGUAAACAAAAAAAAACAACUAGAAACAAAACAUGGAUGCUAUAGUUGUGAAACCCGCGAUUUUUGGCCCCUAUUUUAUUAUGGCAUUAUUGUAAUUUUUCCAAUUAAUUAAAAAGAUAAAAUUUUCUAGGUAAAAGAAAAAAAAUAAAUAAAUAAAGUAACUGUAGGAUGGGCUAAUGGGCUCUAAUAAAGUAAAACUCUGACUCAAGUCACCUAUUAGUAAGUAUUGCUAGGGUUAGAAUUUUACUAAAACCCUAGACAGAAAAAUAACCCUAGUCUUACCUCUCUUUCGUCUACCUCCCUAGAGCAAGAGCCGUCAGAAAGGAGGGAAGGAGAAGCAGGCGACACGGUCAAUCGAUCCGACGACUAGGCACCUAAACCUGUAAGUUUCGAGUUCAUGUAAGAAAACUUCUUUUUGGUUGUAAACGCUUUAGUAGUGGUAUUAAUUGUUCUAGGAAAUCUUAUGGACAUGUAUUAUUGCUAUUUAGGUUUAGAUAUAUAUGUUUCAAUAAGAUUCGUAUCUGGGUUAAUAGGAAUAGGGGGGUUGAUUUUAACCCUGAUAUUAUAGGGUGUUUGAAUCUGUUUUAAAAAAAAAAAAAAAAGAAAGGGAAGAGCAGCGGCGGCUGCCACUGCUCUGUUUCGGCCAGGCGUUGCAGAGGCAACGCCACAGGAAGAAUUCCAAGGGUUGGCCGAAAGGCCAAUUUUCGGCCAACCCAAGACAAAAAAAAAAAAAUUUGAAAGAUGAUGUCGCCAGCACUUGCUGGGGACAUAGGAAAUGGUUGGCCUUUUCGGCCAACCAAUGGAGUGAAUGUUGUUGCCAGACCUUGGUCAAACAAAUGGUUUCUGACGACCAUGGUCUAAAAGGAAAUGGUUGGCCUUCUGGCCAACCAUGGCUCUCACCCGAAGAGGAAAAAGGGAUAAUUUAGAUGUUAAACAAAUAUAAAAUAAAAUAAAUAAAUAUUUAAUAAAUAAAUUUUGAAUAUAACUAGUCCAUUUUUAUAGGUGAUCAUGGGUAUUAAAAUUCAGGACCCAAUUUAAAGAAAUUGUUAGAAUUCAAGUAUUGGUCAUGUAAAACUUUUAUGUAAUUAAUUACGUCUAAGAUAUUUAAAGAAAAAUCUAGGAUAUCUUAGUUUAGCCUUAUGAGGUUAAUGUAGAUGAGGUGAGAUAAAUUCUAAAUUGUUAAACGAAAUGUUUAAAAUAAUAAUAAUAAUAAUAAUAAUAAUAAUAAUAAUAAUAAUAAUAAUAAUAAUAGUAAAUAAUAAUGCUGAUGAUAACACUAAUAUUAAUAAUAAUCAUAAUCAUAAUAAUAAUAGUAAAUAAUAAUUAAUGAACAAUAAUAGUAAGGAUAAUAACAAUAUGGGCAUGGAGGAAGUAAAUUAAGGAUAUAAACAAAGAUACAAAUAUAAUACGAGUGGAAUAAACUAAGACAAUAAUAAUUAUAAUAGGUCAAUAUAUAUAGAUAUAUAUAUAUGUACAUGUAUACAUAAAUAAUAAUAACGCCUAUACACGCCUAAAAGUGGAAAUAAAGGGAAAGGUAAUAGUAACUAUCUGACAUAUAUAUAAGUGAUAAUAAAAUAAAUUAGCGACGACGAGUAUGGUAAUAAUAAUAAUGGAUAAUCAUAAAUUAUAAGUAAAUAUAGUAAAAUAGUAGUGAGGAUAAUAAACGGGAUUGUGAAUAAUUAUUUUCUUCUAAAUUAGGAAACUUUACAAAAUGAACACUUUCCAAAUUAAGAAACUUUCUAAAAAUAGAAACUUUCUAAAUUAGGAAACUUUCCAAAAAAAAAAUAGAAAUCAUCCGAUUGGAGGGAAAUGCUAUUAGGGUUCAUACAAUGGUCUAGAUAUGAAUCUUGUACUUACUUAGAGGUUGUAUAUUUAUGCAUCUGUAGGAAGUAACAACUAAUUAGGGAACUCAUGCAUUUGAUAGGUACGGUACAAGGAUUUAAGAUAGUUCCACUCGAGCAGCCAAACAAAGGUAGGUGGUACUUACCCUUCUGAGAUUUCAAAUGUGCAAAUGAGAUUCUUGUUUUCAAUACUAUUUUGUUGUGUUGACACGAAAGGUGUUUGAUUAAAUGCUUUACUUGGAUAUUUAUGAAAGCUAUAUUUUACUAUACAAAAAUGGACCGUGUGACUUAUCUGAAAAGUUUUGAUAUGCUCUUAUAUACAAAAUGAGCCGAAUCUUUUAUGAAAACAAAGAUUUAUGUAUAUGAUAUAUGAAAUGAAUUUUGACAAGUAAAGCUCAAAGCAGUCAUGGAAUAGACGGUAGGGGCUAUAGUCCUGCCUAAUUGCCAUGGUAGCCUGGUAUAGAGUCCGGCCGAUUGGUAAGGUCAUGGUAGCCUGGUAUAGAGUCCGGCCGAUUGACAAGGGUAGCCUGGUAUAGAGUCCGGCCGAUUGACCCAAAUAUGAAUGAGACCAAUCGGUAGUCAUGAAACUUAUUGGUCGCCCACCUAGUAGGGGUUUAAUCUCUAGGCUGAGUACUCAGUAGCCGGUCAUUACAUGUACUUGUUAUGAGCUAAUCUGAAAGAAUGAUUUAUAAGCCGAUAUGGAAUGAAUUUAUGAACUGAUUUGAAAUGAGGCUUAUGAACUGAUAUGAAUUGAUUUAUGAAUGGAUAUGAAGGGAUUUGUGAUUUGAGACGAGAUGAUUUAUGACUUUACGAUUUCUCAUGUACAACUAUCCAUAAGAUGCUUUCAAGUUGCUUGCCAUUCUUUACUACUGAUUGCUUUACAAAUGACGUUACUUUCAAAAUUACGGAUAUGAAUGAUAUGCAAACGAUUUGAGUUAUACUUAUAUUUGUAUAUGUAUCUGUAAAACUAAGAGUGCAUGGUCCAACAGAGGGGUAAAUAUUACCUACUGAGCGAUGUGUCGCUCAACCCACUUCUUACCAUUUUUGCAGAUUUUGAAGAGUAUGAAUUGGUUUACGUAGAAGACCCUGAGGAUGACUUUUAUUAGCAUUAGAUGAAUAGAAGUUGGCAGGCUAGCUACCGCUAGUUGCUAGUCUUAUUUACUUUUGUUUCCGCUGUUUCAAUAAAUGUACGAACAUCUUGAAUAUUCGUAGACUUCCUUUUAUAUGUAAUUCGAACCGCGCUUUAUUUGUUUAAAUUAUUUAGUACUGUCAAGUUAAAUUAGUUAAUGUAGCCUUGUAUUCCUGGGUGGGACUUGGGAGUACGGCGAAUGUCAUGUGACGGGCACGUGCGGGCUCGGGGCGUGACAAUAGUCCCUUUCUAGGUAUCUUAUUCUUAAGGUCAAUUUCGCCGUUAGAUAACAGAAAAAAAAAGAGUGAAUGGUCAAAAAUGUUAUUAAACUAUUAAAUAUGGCAUGGGUCAGUCAUUAAACUUUUUCGCAGCUACAAAGGUUACUAAACUGGCAAAAAUGGGUCAAGGAGGUCAUUUUAUCAAAUUCUAUCAUUAAAACAAUCGGUAAAUUAUUGAAAUUCAACGAUCUUUUUAGCAAAAUGACCUUUGGCAACUAAUUGUUUUACCGGUAAAAUUUGACAAAAUGACCUCACUGGCCUUUGUUUGCUAGUUUAGUGACCUUUGUGGUCACAAAAAAAGUUUAGUGACUGACCUGUGCCACAUUGAAUAAUUUAGUGACAUUUUUGGCUAUUCAAUAAAAAAAAAAAAGGAACACUUUUUAGGUAUCUUAUUCUUAAGAUUAAUCUCGCCGUGAGAUACUAGAAUAAAUGUUACUUGACCCUUAAAUUGUCACAAUUAUAAUUAUUUACACAUAUAACCCAUCAUUGAAUGAUGUAUCAAUUAGUCGUUCGAUAUAAAUUCAAGGAAUGGUUCUCUAGAGGAGCCAUAAAAUUUAAGCUGACUUAUCUGCAUCUCAAUUUAGGAUGCAGAAAUCUUUCAGAAGCAAAUUUUUUAAUUUCCUUUUAUGCUUACAGAAAUAAGGUGCUUACUGCUCUAGUUUUUCCUUUUAAUUUUCCUUUUAUUUAGAGGUAAGUAGUACGGUUUAUUAUGAAUAUAUAUAUAUAUAUAUAUAUAUAUAUAUAUGACUGUUCAUAGUUUGGCAUAUAUCAUCCCAUUAGUACAAACGGAUGGUCACUAAUUCAGUACUAGAAAUUAGCAAAAACGUAGUUAAUUUAUAGCUAAAUCCUUGUUCUCUUUACUUCCAGGAAUACCCUCCGACUAGCAACUGGAUUUUUAACAUUUCCAACGCUACCCAUUGCACAACCUUUUCUACAAUAGCAAAGCAGGAGGUUCACAUUGAAGCAUAUUCCUGUUUCUAAUCCAUUUCAUGCAAUUACUUAUCAACGAAAAUUUUACUAUACGAUGGACAAUAAUUGCUAUGUUUUCGAAACGACAAAACUAGUUGUCAGUCAUAUUCCUUACCUUAACCCCAUAAAAUGCUUGUCAAUGUUGUAAAAUGUUAGGUGCUAGCAUCUUGAAUAAUCAAGAGGAGAGCAAGCAAAAGUUCAAAGGAGAAGUAGAGAAAGAUAAACAAAUUGGUGACUAACAGAGAAAGAGAAACAGAGAAUGCCAAAAAAAAUAACGUCAUUUUUCACCUAGAAAAGUAUUGCUCGAGACUCAAUUUUUACUUGUCAUUUAGUUUAUUUUGUCACUUUUAACAAUUGGUAAGUCAUUAUUGAGCUGUGGGAGCAUAUUUCGAUCCAAGACAACUGAAGUACUUACCUGACCGUUAAAAUAGCACGUGAAAACAAUAAAAAUAGUCACAGUACUAGGUAUAUUCUUGGGGAUAAUUGCAGAAGGUUUCUGACAGUUGCACUCACCUCUCUUGAGAUUUUAAAAAUACCACUAACCUCUUCUAGCAUGAAUUUGGGGCACACAGCUGACGUAAGAUAGGGUGAAUUUACUUAUAUACGCUUAGAGUUUAAGGUUGUUAGUAAAUAAAUUUGGGUCAAAAAAAGGGCAAUAAAUAAGUUCAGGAUAACUAAUUAAACAAAAUUAAUAGUUAUUUCUUACCUGAUUAAACACUGGAAGUGCACUUACAAAAUGUUACCACAAAAUGACGCCAAUUGAUACUCUAAUAUGAUGUUAUUUUGUGAUUGAUAACAUUUGAAAGAACAAUCCAAAUUGUAUAUUAUCUACAUAGAAUAUAAGUAGAAACAAGAAAAAUGUAAGGGAAAGAAGCCUCCAAACAAGACUCCAUAAGAGAAUAAGUUCUAGUGAUUUUGGUUGAUCUCACUUUAUCUAAAGCAUUUGUGAAACGAAAGGAGAAAGAAAGCAGAAAUCAAGGCAAAAUUUAAGGAUUUUUUGGCUAAAAACUUGCCGCGAUCAAAAGAUAAUAGGUAAGCAAUCAUUUAUUAUCUCAACUUAAUACAAAAAGUUCUCUUUAGUGCAGGAGAGUUUUUGGAGUUGACUGUACACUUUAUACGUUUUAGAACCUCAGAUUCUUGGAUGUAUAUUUGUUGCUUCUUCUAGUUGUUGCUACUGUACUUGUUUUCUUUAUCCUUAUAUCCUCUUCAGUUUCUUUAAUUGGCUCUAAAUACAACUUCACAAGAAACAAAAAGGGUACGAAUGGAACAAAAUUAUUAUCCCACUUCUCAAAAGAUUUUUUUAAUGACAUUUUCUCUGACAUCGGCUGAAUCUACUAUCAAAAUCUUAAGUUCAAGGGAGGUUAGUGCUAUUUUUAAAACCUUAGGGAAGGUGAGUGCAACUACUAGAAGCCUCAAGGGAGGUUUCUGCAAUUAUCCCAUAUUCCUUAUUCAACGUCCUUGACAUGCAAUGAUCAGACGUGACUAAUUUUGUUAAAGAAAUGCAAAUUGAUUGUAGUAAUAUUAUUUCUACUUGUUCACACUUCAGAAAUUUUACUUUCGAGUGCAAAUUAAAUAUGAAAAUGUUAGUUAAGUGGAAAAGUGACGAGAAAAGACACUAGAUGCAUGCACUAAUAUUUAAGCUGUUAAAAUUGAAAUUUAGGUGCAAAGGAGAAAAAGAAAUCCUCUUAAAAGUAGUCUGUCUCGUGGAAAAUCUGAAUAUAUAAACGACAACAUAAAUCAAGACAUCUUGAUUUUGAUAUAUGAAGCAAGAACUGCAGACGAAAAAGGGGAAAAAAAAAGAGAGGAAGAAAUAAAGAAGAAAUUGUAGUUAAGCCCUGAAGACGGACACAAAAGCUCUUGAUAUUAGUUCACAUUAAGACCAUUACAGAAACUAGUUGUCACUGUCCAGUGUUAAACAUUGAUCUUGCAUAAGCAAGACAAUGCAAAAACAUUUUUUGAAAGAAAAAAAAAAGGCGAGAAACUUUUGCUUAUUAGAUAUUCUGAUCUAAUUAUAAUAGCAGGAAAUGUCGUCGAAUUUUUGGGGAUCCUUUUAAACAC
Molecule: long non-coding RNA, 46674 nt
Filed under: Coffea arabica (coffee)
Lineage: Eukaryota; Viridiplantae; Streptophyta; Magnoliopsida; Gentianales; Rubiaceae
Description: long non-coding RNA (CARA_LNC003557)
Source: RNAcentral